UGCUAUUUCUAUUUGGUAUUAAGAGUAGAGCUACUAUGCUAUCGGAAGCAUAGAGAAUCUGGUGCUUCUGAUUUUUUCGCCCUUAGAUCAACUUUUUUGAUUAUUUUUAACCUUUGAAUUAAUACUACUAUCCUGUGGGGACCACUCAAUUCUAGAGUACUACUCAACUCUGGGAAACUGCAAUCAUCCUAACUGUAUAAUUUUUGAUCCAAGGGCCAAAAAAUCGGAAGUAUCAGAUUUUCUAUGCUUCCGAUAGUAUGGUAGCUCUACACCGGUAUUAAUCUGUUUGCUUCGAAUUCCAUACUUAAUUCCGUCACAAACUGAAACUUUUUUCCCUAAUUCAUGAGAAAAGAAUAUAGCAUAACGGGUAUGUAGCAAGCUUCAGAAACCUAAGAAGGCAUGGCGACAUUGCUGACAUUUUAGUAAAUGUUGUAGCCUAUCGACUGCGGCAAGUGGUUGGUUGUUCUGGCCGCCGUUCGAUUUACUUGCGUGUGUUCUUUUUUUCUCAUUCGUUUUCUUGUGUAUGGAUUACUCUGUUUUAUUUUUUUCCCCUACCAUGUAGAUUCCCCCAAGCACAUUAAGGAGAAAAAAAAAAAAAAGGUCAGGAAAAAAAUUAAGAACAAUGCUAUUACUAUUCGCAACAAACUCGGCAUUCGAAUAAGGAGGAAAGAGUCCACUUUUCUUCUAUGCUUUUCAAGUUGCGUAUGAUGUUUUGAAAUCAAGGAACAGUAUAGCAAUGCAUGCUUUAUUCCUGUAUUUUGUUUAAUACUAUCCCUUUUAGUAUUUAUAAACUUUUGAAUUUAUGUCCUCUAGUUUUUUUGAGAGGGAAAACUUCAAAACAAAACCCAUGUGUUUUUAUUUUUUUUCAUUUUAGUACCCUGUGGUUUAAAAUGUAUCAAGUUUGUACCAUGUGGUUUCUCACUUUAUUACUUUAGUAUCCUAUGGUUUAAAAUGUAUCACUUUAGUACCCUAUGGUUUUACACUUUAUGAUUUUAGUACCAUAUGGUUUUAAUUUUGUAUCAAGUUAGUAACUUGUAGUUUUUAAACCACAGGGUACUAAAGUGAUAAAGUACGAAACUACAGGGUACUAAAGUGAUGAAGUGCAAAACCAUAGGGUAUUAACUUGAUACACUUUAAACCACAAGAUACUAAAGUGAUAAAGUGAGAAACCACAGGGUACUAACUUGACAUAUUUUAAACCAUAGGGUACUAAAGUGAAAAAAAGUGAAACCACAAAGGAGUUUUUUGAAGUUUUCCCUUUCUGAAACUUUUCUUCUUUUUGCGAGCUGUCGGGCCUGCUAUACUGUUGGGUACUUUCUACACUCAGGUCUUGAUUAUUUAGAACUAUUGCAAACGUGUUCAAUGCUUUCUUUUUGCUGUGAUGAUCUUGCUCUUAGACGCUGAGAUAUUUGAGAAAUGCUUCUAUACACCGGUCAAUUUAAAUUUGACCAUUCAAAUUUGUGAGGUUAAGAUUGACUUUUACACAAUGGUAACAUGCUCAACAGAUUACCAAUCAAUCAUAAAGAUAAUAUUUGAAAAUAUGCAUUAGCUAAUUACCAAAUUUGAUAAUAUCCAACAAAUCUUCAUUUCCUAAUUUAAUUUUGUUACUUACCAAAUUAGAUAAUGGCUAAUUACAUAAGUGAUAAAUCUUCAUAAAUUCGAAUUUAAAAUUUAACUUGAGUUUAAACUUUAUAUUUAUAAUUGUAUAAAUUAAAUUUAAAUUUUAGAAAGAAAAAUUUAUAUUUAAACGAGUAAACAUUUGAAUUCAAAUUGUUAAUUUAAUAUUAAACUAACAUGAAAGUGCAAAAAUGUUAAUAUCUUUAAAAUUGUAAUUUAAGUUAUAGUGUAUAUAUAAACUUUUAUUAUUUAUUUAAAUAUAAGAUUUCUACAUUUUAAAGUAAGUUGAAAUUGUUAAUUCAAUAUUGAAAAACAGCAUUAAAUUUCAAAAAUAUUGAUCAAAUUUAAAUUAUAAAUUUAGAUUAAAUUUAUAUUAUACUUAAAAAAUAAAUUUAGUUAACUAUUUAAACAUAAAGUUUCAAUGUUUGAAAAUUAAUUUUAAAUUAUAAAUUACUAAAUUUAUGACUCAAUGAGAUCAUAAAUUAUUAUUAAAACCGACCUUAAAAUGGAUAAUUUAAUUAAAAAUUUAUUCUCUCCAGGAUUCAAGAGCAGUAUAUAUGCAAAACUUUCCAAUAUUAGUUAUUUAACUUUCUAAUAUUAGCUCUUUCUUUUUCCAAAAAACUCCUAGAUUCACAUACCUGGUGACCGGUACUACUUGUGCAAUAGCAGAUCAUCUUUUUUUAUGCAUAAAUCUUAACCCUUCAUUGAUUAAAAAUAAACAGCUAAGAUCAGAAUGGAGUAUUGAAGCAUUGCUCUUUAAAAAAUUCAAGGACCGAGAUCUUUUUUGUGCAUAGGAGCAUUGCUCAUUAUUAUUUUUUUAUUAAAGGGGUAUGGGUGUAAUUUUUUCAAACUAUAAUUUGAUAGGAGACAUAUUUUAUACUCUGAUUUGAUUAAGAAAUCUAGUUUCUCCCAACAAACUAGAUUUCUGGUAUAUAUGAGCGAAAAUUUGGUAUUAGUGUAAAUUGCAAAAUUUUAACACAACAUGCAACUCCAAAUCUAAAACAUUUUUCUAGUUGGGCUGAUUGUAAGGAUUGAAAUGCCAUGGCACGGGAGUCGUGCCGGAAGCUUGCCGGUACGGUGCAUGCCGAAUUGUGCGGAUGCGUGCCGGUCACAAAAAAUAUAUAUAUAUUGACACGAAAUAGCAUGAAAUAUUUAUUAUUUUAACAAUAAAAUAUGUAAAUUAUUUAUUAUAUAUUUUUAUCAAAUUUUUUAAACUUUAUUGAGAUAAUUAUUCAUUAAUUUCAAGAAUACAGAGUUUUAAGUUGUGCCAUCGGCACGGGGGCUAUAUCGUGCCGAUAUAUUGCUGGCAUGCUAUGGCACGAUAAAUACACCCCUUGCCGAUAGACAUUUCACCGUUAAACUAGCAAAUAUCUCAUACCGGUCAUUAAAAAUUGUCAAUUUUGUGAGCUUUUGAUUGUAAGGUAAAUGAUAUUGAAAAAUUACGAAAUUUAUUUUCUAGAAGUUUCAAAUACUUUAGAUCAUUUUUAACGGUGUGGAUCGUCGAUUCGAAACGUCCAACAUUAAAAACAAUUUAUGAGUACGAAGGGUUCUAUGCUCAUAAGAGUAUAGUAGCCCUACUCUCUCUCUCUCUCUCUCUCUCUCUCUCUCUCUCUCUCUCUCUAUAUAUAUAUAUAGGCCAAUUUGCAUAAAAAAUUCACUUAUUUUGGGCUUUUGCAAAAUCGGGCCAUCUUUUUGGUUUUUGCAGAUUCGGUCCGCUUUUUUAGCAUACUGACCAAAAUACCCUUAUACCUUUUUCUCUUUCCUCUUUCUCUCUCCUCUUUUUUUUCUCUCGUUCUUUUUUCUUUUUCUUCCCAGAGAGCGGCGAAGACGGAGCGGAGGCGCCCUUAUACCUUUUUCUCUCCUCUUUUUUCUCUUAUUUUUUUUUUCUUUCUCUUUCCAGAGAGCGGCGAAGACAGAGCGGCGUCAUCGCCGACGCCCCCACCUUCCUCGCCUCCGAUCCUCCCAAGGCCGAACUGCGAUUUUCUUUUUUUUGCUUUUUUCUUUUUUUUUCUUCUCCGACUCUCCUCCAGUCUCUGACGACGGCGCCUCUCUCGCUCUUCCCUGCCCUUCUCGUCUCUCCUUCUCCCUCAUUCUUUGCUGCCUCCGACGACGAUGCAUCUUCGCCGACACCGACGCCGACACCGUGGAGAUCACUGCGGCGCUGCAGUCUCGGAGUGGGCGGGUCUUUAGCGGCGUCAUCACCGGCACCGUGGCUAUUAGCACAGAAGGUGACAAAAAAAUAUUAAAAAAGAAACAAAAAAAAAUAAAGAUAAAAAAUUAUAUAAAAAAAGGAUGAAGAUGAAAUUAUAUUGUUAACUGCAAAACAAAUUACAAGUUGCACUACUUAAGAUGUAAACUGCAGUUUUAAGAUGAAAAUUACACUCUUUAAACGAAAAUCACACUCUUUGGGAGAUAUUUACACUGUUUCUCUUCUUAUUGCACUCUUUCAGAUAUAAACUGCACCCACUAAGAUAAAAAUUACACUCUUUAAAUGAAAGUUGCACUGUUUCUCCUCUUGUUGCACCAUUUUUUCUCUUGGUACACUAUUUUUUACUUUAAACUGCACCCAUUUAAGAGAUAUUUAUACUUGUUCUUCUCUUGUUGCACUGUUUUUACUCUUGUUGUACUAUUUCUCCUCUUGUUACACUGUUUCUUCUUUUAAAGGGUGCAGUUUAAGAUAAAAACAGUGUAACAAGAGAAGAAAUAGUGUAACGAGAGAAGAAACAGUACAACAAGAGGAGAAACAGUAUAAAUAUCUCUUAAAGAGGUGCAGGUUAUGAUAAAAAAUGGUGUAACAAGAUGAAAAAUGGUGCAACAAGAGGAGAAACAGUGCAACUUUCGUUUAAAGAGCGUAACUUUUAUCUUAAUGGAUGUAGUUUAAAUCUGAAAGAGUGUAAUACGAAGAGAAAUAGUGUAAAUAUCUUCCAAAGAGUGUAAUUUUCGUUUAAAGAGUGUAAUUUUUAUCUUAAAGCUGCAGUUUACAUCUUAAGUGGUGUAACUCGUAAUUUUUCUUGCAGUUAACGAUGUAAUUUCAUCUUCAUCCUUCUUUUUAUAUAAUUUUUUAUCUUUAUUUUUUUUUUUUCUGUUUCUUCUAUAAUUUUCUUUUUGUCACCCUCUCUGCCAAUAGCCACGGCACCGGUGACGACGCCGCUAAAGACCCCCCGCUCCGAGGCUGCAGUGCCGCAGUGACAUCCACGGUGUCGGCGUCGGUGCCGGCAAAGAUGCAUCGUCGUCGGAGGCAGUAGAGAAGAAGGGAGAUAGAGAGACGAGAAGAGCGGGGAAGAGCGAGAGAGGCGUCGUCGUCGGAGACUGUGUAGGAGAGUCGGAGAAGAAAAAAAAAGAAAAAAACAAAAAACAAAAAAAGCCGCGGAACGACCUUGGCGGGGUCGGAGGCGAGGAAGGUGAGGGUGCGUGGGUGAGGGCAAGGGCAAGAGUCGGAGAAGAAAAGAAAAGAAAAAAGCAAGAAAAAAAAAAAAAAAAAAANCGCUCGUGUUCGGCUCGUUUACACCCCUACCUAUAAGCUCAUCCAAGCAAAGAGAAACACUUCCCAAUAUGUAUUGAUGCAAUAAAAUGGCAAAGGUUACGGCUCACUCACUGAGUGGUCUGCUAGUGAACUCAAAUGCGGUGAUUUGAAUUCAAAACCAUUCUUUUAAUAUAACUAGCGUCUGUGUUCUGUUAGCAUGUAUGAUCUCUAUUUUUUGUCUGUAUAUAUAUAUAUAUAUAUAUAUAUAUAUAUAUAUAUAUAUAUAUGGAAAGAAAGUGUUACAUUGAAACUCCGAUGUCGGCAACACAGUAAAACGCGUCCCAGGUUGCCGCCCGUUGCAAACACGUGGCAUUUCCUCAUCUAUUGGAAAAUUGUUUCCUGCACCCAGUGUAUAAAAGCAUUUUUGUACACCACAGUAUUAAUUAAAGAUUUUUAAAAAUAUUUUAAAAUUAAAAUCUAACUUAAGCACUAGAUGCAUAUAUAAAAUAUUUUAAAAUAUGAAACCCAUGGCCAACUAUAUUAGCCAGCUAUAUGAUUGAUAUCAUUAUUAUUGAUUAUUAACUUCACAAUAGUUAAUUUUUUUUUUUAAUAUCUUGUUAUUUUUUACUGAUAAGAAAUUUAAAUAAUAUAAAUCACAUAUAUUGAAUAAUAUUUUAAUUUCAAAAAGGGGUUAAACUUUAAAUACCAUCCCUAUGAUUUUGUACCUUUUCAUUUUUGUAUCGUGUGAUUUAAAAUGUAUCAAGUUAGUACCAUGUGGUUUAAUUUUUUUUUUUUCAUCAGCUCCUCCAUUAAUAUUUCGUUAAAUUAUAUACAAAAAAUUUCAGAUACCUUACCUAGAUUUAUCGAAUAUCAUUUGAAUACACUUUAGUUUUAAUUUUAUCACUGAUUUAAUGAAAAAAAUUAGUGAAAUGGAUGAUAAAAAAAGAAAAUUGAAAUCACAUAUUACUAAAUUAAUACACUUUAAAUCACAAGGUUGUAAAGUGAGAAAAUGCGAAAUCACACGGGUAGUAUUUGAAGUUUUUCCUUAAAAAAAAUACAUCAAUUAAUGUAAUACGAAAUGGAUACACCAGGUGCAUGGGGGACCAACCUGCCCCACGCAAUUCCCGCUCUUUUCUCCCCGUUUGGAUUUGUUGCUGUAGGGUGACCUGGAUUGCGACACCGACAUCCAAUAGGGAGGGGGGACAUGACACGUGGAGGAAAACGAUUGGCUGUGACGAAAAGAAAGAGACAUCUCGCCAACGGCUAAUAACCACAUAUUUUUUACACUUGAAACUUGGUCAAAUUAAUUAGUCAAAAUCGAUGGAACAAUUAAGAUUUUUUUUUUUUUCCUUUAGGAUAUUUUUGGUUCAUCUAUUUUAAUCUAUGAAUUUAGGAUAUUUUUGGUUCAUCUAUUUUAAACUAUGAAAUCAGAAUAAAAUUUAUUAAUUUUCAUAGUUAUUGUUUGAUUUAUAGAAAUCGGAUUUCGGUUCCUAUUCUACUCCGGAAUGGAAAUAUGACCGAAUUCAUUUAUGGCUCAAUUCAAUCUUGAAUCCCAAAUUGGUCCAAUCCAAAGAAAACUAUUCAAAAUUUUAUUUCUCCAACAUUUACCUCCUCUUUUUUAAUCAUUUUUCUUUCUCUUAAUCAAAUCCUCUUUCAAAAAUUUGAAAUUUCCAUUUCGAUUUCUAUUUCAAUAAUGAACCAAAUAUUUUUUGAUGAUUUGUCAUUUUAUUUUCCAUUACAAAAUAAUCCAAUUUUAUUUUUCAUUCUUAUUCCAAUUAUGAACCAAACAUGUCACUACAACAAAAACGGUCUAUAGCGACACUUUUAAAUAUCGGUAUAGAUCAAAAAAAGUGCUGUUGGCUAAUUAAAUUACCUAUACUUUUAAGAAGUGUUGCUAUAUGUGGGGUCGCUAGGUAUAUAGUGACAGUUAAAGAGUAUCGCUAUAAUCUAAAUGAGUGCUGCUAAUUUACCAAUAUUUAUUUAAGCAUCUAGCAACCGCCGGAACCCUACCUCGUUGGCUGCGGUGGCGGAUGAAGAUGAGAGGAAAGGAUUUUCGUUUAGGAUUUUAGUCGAUUGAAUAAGGGAAGAAGGGAAAAUGGUAAUCGAUUUUUCUUUUUUUUUUCUUUUUUUUUUUCUUUUCUGUUUGUAAUCGGGUCGAAUGGGCUGGGUGGAGUGGGUUGAGUAGAGUACCAUUUUAUUUUUAGUUGGAUUGGACUUUAUAUUUAGUAUUAGUAGAUUUUUUUUUAAAAUUUUGACAUAAAUGUGACACUUAUACAAAAAUGUCCCAAACAUGUGUCACUAUAACCUAAUUCUGUUGUAGUGUGUAUGCCUUUAAUGUAAUUACUUUUUCCAGCGAACAUCUGGUUAAAUACACAAAAACACAUGCAUGUGUGUUGGAUUGUAAGUAUAGUGGAUGAUAAAUAAAGUGAUAAAUUUUAAUUUUUAAAAGUAUAGAAAAUAAAUUACAAUUUCAAUAGAGUUUAGAUGAUUUUCGUUUUUUUUCAAGCCUAAAUUGGGCUUAUAAAGGUUCUCCGGUUCGCACAAAUUAAAAUCUAUUCUCAGGCAUGCUCCGUUCUUGGGGUUUAGGGUUUAAGUUACUAUAGUUUGAUAGUUUUCUGUAGAUUUUUUUUUUAUUUUUUAUUUUAAGGCAUUAAAAAGAAAAUUUCAGGAAUGAGGUCAAUAUUUUGCGUUUUUACGCCCUCAUAUGUUGAGCCCAUUAAGGGCCCAUUUGAUUUUUACUUCAAGAGCAUUUCACAAAAAUAAUAAAAAUCUAGAGCUUUUGUUGUAAUGAAAGGGGAAAAAACUUUUUCGAGGCCUUAGAGUGGAAUUACCAAUUUGAUUAUUUUGAUCUACUAUAGGAAAAAGCUAAAAAGGAUAUUAAUAAGCAGUGAAAAGUAUACUAAUAUUAAUUGUGCAUUAAUUGUAAUACUAAAGAGAAACAAGUGCCAACGUCAUGACUCUUUUCAUAUCCUCCCACGUGAGGAUUGUUGGUUACUUAUUAUUAGCUAAAAUAUAUAAGUCCAAUUUUCUGUUCUGAGAUAAUCCGUUCAGAAUAUUAAUAAGUUGAGUUGGAUAAGUUCAAUAAGUUGAGUAGGGUUGCGAUCCACAAUAAACCUAAUGGUAAGAGAUCCAAUAAUAAACCUAAUGUCGAGAUAGGUCGAGUUAGGUCGAAAUUCCUUGAGCGCUAAAAUUAAGCCUUUAAGUGCGACAGAUACGUCCUUUCUACCGGUACGGGUUUUUGAGAUAGUUUAUUAGUGCUUACAAUCCACAAGGAUAUAAAGCCAGAUUAUAGUUUUGUUGCUCUAUGUCCAUCAAAUAUGUGCUACAUGAAGUUUUGGCUUUGCAAUCCUAAAUUUUUUGGUUUUUAGUAGGCUACAGGUAUCAAUGAAAAUAUGUCCCUAGACUAAACCCAGCCAGUCAAAAUAUAGUCUGUAGUCUAUGUCACCAUGAAACUCCUUGACAAAAUCUAUAUAUAGAGGUAAAUUAAGAUGGGAAAUUUAUUAAAUAUAAUUAAAUCCUAAAUAUUUAAAAGAGAUUACUGAAACAAAUUUAUAAAAAUAAUAAGACUAAAAUACAGAAUAUUCAUCUAUAAAUAAUCGCUUUCUCACUUUAUAUAAAAUUUGAAGUGGUAGCAAUUAACUCAGCAUUGUUAUAAUUUCGUUAUUAUUCUGUGCAUAAAUUAAGUGGUUGUUGGCGCCGUACAAAACAGCGCCAUGUGGAAAAAAAGUUCGAACCGCGUGAGCAAAACGAUGAGAGCGAGGUCAGAGUAAAAGGGGGAAAGUGCCAAGGGAUAAGAGUGAGUACCUCUCAUUCCUCACUUGACUCUACUAGGACCUGUAGUGACACGUGGUGCGCGCACUUAGAGCCGAGAGGAGUACGCCUAAAAUGGAAGAACAGUUUAGAUGGGAGACCCACCGUCCCUAGAGCAAGUGGCAAAAGACUUGGUGGUUGGUACAUGCCCGAGACCCGAGUUCGAAUCCUAGUUGAUUCACACUUCCAGCUAUAUAAGUUUAUUUCUUAAUGAAAUAAACGAAGCGGGUAGCGCGCUAUCUAUCUCUCAAAAAAAAAAAAAAAAACAGUUUAGGUGGGAGUGACUAAAGACAUGGAAAAAAGAUUUCGUGGCCAGCAAGAGAUCAACCGAAACAUAACUCGAGGAAAUGGGGACGUGGCCGAAGGACCUCUACAAUAAGAUAUUAAACCAAUAACGGCAGGGGGGAGAAGAUAUUGCUAUAAAUAAAAAUAAUCGUGCUGUGAAAAGGGUCCUUCACACAAAUAAAAGACCAUAACAAAUUUUAAUUCCUUUUUUUUUACAUUUGCAGUUUUUUUAGAGAUAGUUCAGGGAUUGUCUUGUUUGUUCUCUUUUUCAGAGCUUAGUUAAGAGUGUGAUUAAAUAGUUCUAUAGGAGUAGAUUCUAUUUCUAUAACAACAUUUAUAAUUCCGCUUUCUUGAUAAAUAUAAACAGUUCGGCUCAUUUGGCCGAGCUUGCUUUUGAGUAAAUUGUGAAUAGUGGCGGAAGAACCCGGUUAAGCCGAUCCCUCCUCAAUUGAGUUGCUUGGUUCACUAAUGAUGCAUUCGAGGUCAUCCUAGGAGCCAACUCGUAUCCCAAAGAACAACCCGACUUCGUCAAUGCCUUGAUUUGGCCAGCGUUGUCUCGUAUUCGGUUUCUAGCCCAGCAAUGGUACAACUAAGAAAUUACUAAUAAUCUUAUUAAAUUUUAACAAAUGAUGAAAAGAAUUAGUAAAUAGGCGGGGAUCAAUCUCUCAUUAAUUUGGUGGGACAAAAUAUAGAAUUUUUAAAGAGAGGCAUGUGAAAUGGAUAAGCCGAUAUAUAUAGGGCGAUUUUCUAUUUUAUAGUCAAAUAAUAAUUUUUUAAAAUUUAAAAAAUAAGAUUUGAAAUUCUAAUUUAUUUUCUGUUGCAUCAGUUAUGGCGAAGCUAGAUAGCCCGAGGGUUGCAAUUAGCGAAGCUUUAAUUUGUUGGACCAUGAAGAGUGGACAACAUGGAUGAUAUAUAUGCGACGUGAUGUGAUUAAAUACCAGCUUUAGAAUUAGUGCAUUGUCAUAUGUUGAAUAUAUAAAUAUUAUUGUGGAGGAAUUAAUUUUAGGAUAUAAUGAAGAGGGGCAAUAGUUGUUGUAAAGGUGUAGUAAUAUUCAUGAGAGGGAAUGUCUCCUUAUUUCUAGAGUUGAUGAGUGUUGGGAAGUUAAAUAGUUAAUUUGAGNGUUGCCUCCUUUUCAAGAUAAUAAUUGGUUCCAACAAGCUCCUGGGGUUUAAUGAGCUCUAUUGUUAGUUGCUUUACUUCUUUAUCAAAAAUUUGGUUCAUGAGGAGUUUUUUUUUUUUUUUUUUAAACAAAUGUACGUUAGGGUGUUAGUCAGGAGGAAGUCUACUGCGUAACAUUUACACGACAUCGUCAAUAACCAGCCAAUCAUAUUCUCUUUUUGCAAAUAAAGUAUAAUAAAAAUAUUUUUUUAAUAACUAUCAUAGUAUGGGUGAAUCCAAAAAAAAUAAUCUAAUUGAUUGGAAACGCCACAUUAGCAGUAUAAUUGGUGCAUUCUGGACUUUUUCUUUAACUAGCUAGAGUGUCAGCUGGCAUAGUUGCUGGGAUAAAUAAAGUACGUAAAUGCUACUUAUACACCCCUGUAUAGGGAUAUACAUCUUACACCCUUUAAUCUUAGGACUCACAAAUUUUUAAUGGGUUUUAGUAGAAGAAAAAAAAUUGAUAAGACAAGUGAAUAAAUAUAAACCACGAAAUAUCUAGGGUGCAAAUUUUACACCUAGAUCAUAGGUGUACAUAUAGCAUUUGCUAAAACAUUAAAGGGUGUAGAGAACUCCCUAGAUAGGAGGAGUUGGGAUUUGCUUGUUUGGACAAAACAAGAGUUUGUAGUAUUGAAUGGGAAGGAGUUCUCAUGAAACAUGAAUAAUCUAACAAAUGGCAGUGUAUUAGAAAUGUGUUGAUUGUACAAAUAUUAAAUACAUCUUCCUUGUUAGCUUAAGUUUUUCGAAAUAAAUAUUGCUUUCAUAUAAUCUAAAAUACACAGAUGUAGUUGAUAGCUUGGUGCUAACUUAUGAGCAAAAUUUGAUGAUAGAUUUGGAUCCCAAAGGUACCCCAAAACACAGAUAUGGUCAGAAUUAAGUACUAUAUGUCAUGUAAAUUAAAACUCAAGUACUAUGUCAUAUAAAAAUUUACAAGGAUAUGGGACUAGUAAUUAAGUAAAAGAGCUGGCUUUUUUUUGUGAAAUAAAAGAGGCAAUGUUCCAACCAUGAUCACUGAGAAAAGUAAUGAAGUGCGAGCUUGUGAACUCAUUACACCAUUAGAUGGAAAAUAUCACAAUCUAGUAAAAUGUUAAAAAUUUGGAGAAAGUUUCAGGUUUUGCAUAGAGAGAAAAUAUCCAAAUAGAAUGAGCAUUGUGAGACCCCAAAUAGUCCUAUAUAUAAGAUGUAAUAGGGCUAAAACUCUUAAUCCGGCUUAAGUAUUUUAGGUGGUGGCAAGGACCAAGAGAUUAAGAGAGUUAAGCGUGCUCGGACGGGAGUAGUCCUAGGAUGAGUGACCACCUAGAAAGUUGGGGCGUCACAGUUGGUAUCAGAGCUAAUUACCAGCCGGAAAUGUGAGAUGAGUCUCGGCUGAGUCGGGGUCGGAAUGACAAGGCUAGCGAGACGAGUCUCACAUCGCCUGAUACUUAUGAAUUUGAGCCUGACAAGGAUGUUAGGGCUUAAAGAGGGAGAGAUUGUGAGAUCCCAGAUAGUCCUAUAUAUAAGGUAUAAUAGGGUUAAACUCUUAACCCGACUUAAACAUUUUGAGUGGUGGCAAGGUCCAAGAGGUUAAGAAAGUUAAGCGUGCUAGAACAGGAGUGGUCCUAGAAUGGAUGACCUCCUGGAAACUUGGAGCGUCACAAGCAUGCUCAUUGAGGAAAAGAAUAUAGUAAUUAUUUAACGAAGGCGCGAUUUAUUAUGUAUGAGUUCACAAAGUACAGGAACCGACAGACUCAACGUGCAUGCUUUCCAAAGCCAAGGAGCAGGUGCAGUACAUGUGAUACAUUAAUUUAUAUUUAUUUCUAUAUAUAACAAGGACAUGAUCGACUUGAGAAUUAACGUGCGCCAAACAUUGUUACCAUGCAUAUAGUCGCGAUAUGCCGAGUUGCAUCAAACGAAGAAUGAGGAUCUUCGUUACAGAAUGGACAUAUGUAGGCCUUGAUUACUGCACCUAAAAGGGUUUGCUUCCAUCCUUCCAUGAUCCUUCACACAAAAAUUGGAUUGUGAAAAUAUGAAGACAAAAUCCUGAUCAACAACAAAAUUAUUCCUAACUUGGAGAAGAUUCUUUCAAAGAGUUGGAACUAAAACAAAAUUAUCUAUAGCAAAUGCAGUGGAAGGUGUGUAAAGUAGAAGAUCCAAGCAGUAAUAGGUAAAAAAACAAGAACCAUUGCCAUCGCAAAUUUUAUCGCUAGCAUAAUACAGAAAGGAAAGGAGAGGAGAAGAAGCAAGAGAUGCAUAACUGUUGCUCGAAGAAGUGUGGCUCACUAUAAGAAAAUCAUAAAAUCAUAAAAUAAAAAAGCUUUUUAGAUGGCGUUUGGGGGAAGCGUCCCUAAGCGUUUCUACAAUAAAGCAAAUACCUAUGUUUCAAAAAGCGUCAUCAUAUGAACCAUCUAUUGUAUCAAAAUAAUUUAUUAAAUGAUAAAUUUUAUUAUUAUUUUUAAUUUUUUGACGUUUUAAAGAGUCGUGAUUCAAAAAUUCUGACGCUUUAAAACGUCAAGAUAUAUUUUAUCGACGGUUGACAUAAGUGUCAAUAUAUACAUGGUUAUUUGUCAAUGCUUUCAAAUGUGAUGCUAGAUUAUAUAUAUAGAAACGCAUAUAGAAAUGUUUUUAAUUAUCGUUAAAUAUAUAUAAAAAAAAAAUAGCAUCCUUAAAUUUUAAUUUUCUUGCAGUGACUGCUGCUUGAAGGACGAGAAGAGCCACAAAAUCAAGUUUUUGUCCUUGGCUCGAAGGACAAGAACCACAAAAUCAAAGUUUUUUUUUUUUUUUAUUGUGAUUAAUAUAAGUAGAGGAAUAUUAUACUAGGAUUAGCGACAAGAGCAGCAUUAGAUGCUAAAUGAUUAGGAGAAUGACGCGAAGCAAGAGGUUCUUCACAAUCUAAUACAAGGGAUCAAGAACGCUCAAAAGAAUAAGAAAGGUGGUUAAGCAAUUAUUUGACCAAGCUAUCAAACUGAAUCCGAAAUCCAUCAAAAUCUUCAUGACAAAUCAUGGUCAGACAUGGCAAUCCACAUUGGACCCGGUUGAUCACUUAGUCCUUUUAUUUUAUUUUAUUUUUUGGGAUUUAAAAUUUGAGCUUAAUGAUUGCUUUACAUUGGUAAGGGCCCAGACCAGAUCUUGCCUAGAUCUGGUCUAACCUCGGUAAGGGCCAACGACUUACCUGAGAUGGAGCCGUUGUUGGAGUUGUUGGACCCUACCGUUCGCCUCUUACCUAUAUACAGAGGGGAGAGUGCACUUGAGAAAAGAUACAGGACUUAGCCUGAGCUUCACCUCUUGAUCAUCUUCUUCCUCAGCUCCUUGUGCUCUGAACUUCAUCUCCUUUCACACUGAGUUUCACCUAUUUCUAUAUUGUGCUUUCCAUAUUUUGCCAGAUCUUUUAAAGCCUAGUGGGUUCGUGGUGCACCAUUUUUAAGACGUGCCGACAGGGUGGACAGUGGUUGUUGUAUCGCUAUGAGCGAUUACCGGAGCCUUGCACGUAGAGGGGCAAUUUCGUUUUUAGGACAGUGCUUUAGCAUGUCUCGACUCACAGAUUUCAUCCAUUCUCUUCUUCCUAAUAUUUAUUUAUUGAUUCUUACAUGCUGUUAAAAUACUUGUUUAAGUUUUGUGUUUCAAAAUAUUUUCAAAAGAAUAUAAUUUUUGCUAAAAGAUUAGAAAGAUUUUUCCAACAGUAAAGGCCAGGCAACCGCCUGAUCAACGAAAAGCUGAAUAAUUAAUGGAACUAGUGAAGGCCCGCGCUUCGCCGCGGGAAAUUUACGCAAUUUCUAAAAUUUUUUAAAUAGAUUAUUCAACAUUGUUUGCUAAAAUUGGUUAUAAAAAUUAAGUAAAAUCAAAAUAAACAAUUAAAUAUUUAAAAUUUAAAAUUUUUUAUUAUCCAAAAUUUAAAUGUAAAUUUAGAAUAUAAAAUGUUCAAGCUUAAAAUUUAAAUUUUAACAUAUGAAAUUGAAAUCUCAAUAUUUGGAAUUAAAUAUUUGAAUUUUUUAAAUUCAAUCUAUAAUUUAAUAUAUAUUUAAAAUAUUGAAACUUGAAAUUUGAAAUUUAAAAUUUAAAAAUCUUAUAUUUUAUCUUAAUUACUAAAACUAAAUUUUAAAAGUUUACAAUUUUAUAUUUUAAAUUUCAGUUUUUGAAUUUUUAAUAUUAGAUUUUGUAUGAAAUUUUGCUGAAUUCUAAAUGUUUUUAUGUAAUUCUAACCUUUCAUAAUUCUGAAUUCGGAAAUAUCGUUGAUGUAAUUUCGAAUUCUGAAUUCUAUCCUUUUAUACGCAUCAAAUAUCCUGAUGUAGUUCAGAUCCGAAUUCUAAAUUUUAAACGUUACAUGCAUCGAAUAACUCAGCAAGCAGGAAUUCAGCUAGGGAAUUCAAAAUUCCAUGAAGAAUAUAGAGAAAAUAACUAUACUUUGUUCAAACUGUCCUAGCCGGUUUAUUUCUUAUUUUCGAGUUUCGGCCAAACCUAAGGAUAACUGAGUUGUAGAGAGUAAGGAGUUAGGUAGGAUGGUCAUUGAUAAGCUACACCGCUACUAUAGUUCUGAACUUACUGGAAAGAUGUUUGUGUAUGAUGCGGGAAAAAACCUAUUCACAUUAGGAUCUCUCCCACAAAAUAAUUUCGAGAAUUUUAGAAUUAAUAUUCAGAAUUUAGAACUUAGAAUCUACAAUUCAUAAUGCAAAUUCAUACAAAAUGUUGCUUAUGGCAGAAACUAUAUUUUUUUAUUUGAGACACAUAGAAAAAGCAAAUAAUUAAACAAACAAAUAUAUAUAAUUUUCAAAAUUUUAAAACUUAUAAUUUUAGUAUAAAAUUUAAAAUCUACAAUUUAGAAACUAAAAUUUAAAAUUUAAAACAUAAAAAAUUUAAAAUUUAGUUUUUGUAAUUAAGGAAAAAUAUACAAUUUUAAAUUGUAAGUUUCAUUUUAAAUUUAAACAUUCAAUAUUUUAAAUAUUAAACUACAAAUUGAAUUUAAAAAAAACAAAUACUAAACUUUAAAUAUUGGAAUUUUACUUUUAAAUGUAAAAAUUAAAAUUUUAAGUUUUGACAUUUUAUAGUAGGCGCAAUUUUGCAAAAGGUAAAUCCAAAUCAUCAUACAUCUGCAACGUAACAAAACUAAAAAUCCGUAAAAAACUAAUAGUAAGAACUAAAUAUCAAUAGUUGCAUAACAACAAUAUGAUAUAUAUACCGGAAGUACCUGAUUCAGUGGUUUCUUGUAAUAUGGAACCAGCGAACCAACCUACAUAAAGAAGCCCUAAUUUGCAUCAUAAAAUUGGAGUAAGAUAAUAAUAAGAAUUGCUUCAGAUAGUUGUACAUUAUUUGGAUGAGUCAAAGAUAUCUACUUACAGACUCACCACUUGCAUUCAUAAAAGUUUGACGUUUGGCAAGCAUGACAGGAGAAUCGCGAAUACGGCCUGCAUAUAAAACAACUAAAAUAUAUUAAAAUAUAUCUAAAUCAAAGUAUAUAUAUUCUGUAUUACGUUACUAACAAGGUUUGCAAUUCCCAGCAUAAAAUGAGCAAAUAAUUAAACAAACAAAGAAAAAAUUGCAUAUUUAUUUGCGGAUAUUAGCCUACACCUAAGUUAAGCAGAUUAAUUGGUUAUCAUAAGUUAGAAUUAAAAGAUGGCUUAGGUGGCAAAUGAUUAAUAUACUACAAAAGUUCGCAACACAUUCCUACAAAUAAAAGAAUCAGUCAUUUGGUACAUCCAAAGAAUAAUGUUGAUUCACAUGUACAGAUUCAUCUUCUCUCCUAAAUUAAAUAGGAAAAAGAAGAAUUAUAAAUGCGUAUAUAAUGAUACAAAUUUCUGUAUACGAAAAAUACUAUCUGUACAUCUACAUAUAAGUGUAAACCUUAUAUUACCUUCACAUCAAAAAUUACAUUUAUAUCUAAUAACAAUAGUCUAAAUUAUUUCAUAUUUAUUUAUAUAUUUUAUAUUUUAUAUAAAAAUAAAUAGCAAAUUAUGUAAUAAAUUAUUAUAUAAUAAUAUAUUAUUAUCUAUAUAAAAGCAAAGUAUAUAUAUAUAUAUAGUAGAGAGGAGAGAGAGAGAGAAUUAAUAAAUAUAAUAUGUUGAUAAAUAAAUUUAUAUAGAUUUAUAUAUAUAUAUAUAUAUUAUAUAGUUAUAAUAUAUAAUAUAUUAUUAUCUAUAUAAAAGCAAAGUAUAUAUAUAUAUAUAUAGAGAGAGAGAGAGAGAGAGAAGAGAGAGAGAGAGGAAUUAUAAAUAUAUAUUUUAAAAUAAAUUUAUAAUAUAUAUAAUAUAUACAUAAAAUUAUAUAUAUAUAUAUAUAUAUAUAUAUAUAAUAUAUAUAUAUAUAUAUUAUAUAAUAUAUAUAUUAUAUAUAUAAUAUAAUAUAUAUAUAUAUAGAUUAUAAUAUAUAUAUAAGAAUUAAUAUAUAAUAUAUUAUCCUUAUAUAAAAAAGUAUAUAUAGUAUUAUAUAUAUAUAGACGAGAGAGAGGAGAGAGAGAGACGAGAGAGAGAGAAUUAUAAAUAUACUAUGUUAUAAAUAAAUUUUUAUAAUAUAGAUAGUAAUAAUAAGAAAUUAUAUAUAUUAUUAGAAUUAUAAAAUGAUUAUAUAUUAAAUUAUUUUUUAUACUUCUCUACUCAUCAUCUCUCUUUCAUCUAUAAUAUAUAUAAUGUUUUAAUAAUAAAUUAUAUAAUAUAAAACUAAAAUAUUAAUAUAUAUAUAUAUAGAAAUAAUUAUAUAAGAAUUAUAUAUAUAUAUAUACGAAGAGAGAGAGAGAAUAUAAAAUAUACUAUAAUAAUAUAGUAUUUAUAAAUAAAUAAGAAAUAAUAUAGGAGAGAGGAGAGAAUUAUAUUUUAUAUAUACAAUAUAUAUAUAUGAAUUAAUUAUAUGAUAUAUAUAUAUAUAAUAAAUUAUAUAUAGAAAUUGAUAUAUAUAUAUAAUAUAAAUAUAAGAGGAGACGAGAGAAGAGAGACGAGAGAGAUUAUGACAAAAAAUAUACUAUAAGAUAAUAUUUAUAAAUAAAUAAAAAAAAUAUAAGAGAGAGAGAUUAUAUUAUAUAUAACAUAUAUACACAAUAUAUUUAUAUAUAGUAUAUAUAUAUNNNNNNNNNNNNNNNNNNNNNNNNNNNNNNNNNNNNNNNNNNNNNNNNNNNNNNNNNNNNNNNNNNNNNNNNNNNNNNNNNNNNNNNNNNNNNNNNNNNNNNNNNNNNNNNNNNNNNNNNNNNNNNNNNNNNNNNNNNNNNNNNNNNNNNNNNNNNNNNNNNNNNNNNNNNNNNNNNNNNNNNNNNNNNNNNNNNNNNNNNNNNNNNNNNNNNNNNNNNNNNNNNNNNNNNNNNNNNNNNNNNNNNNNNNNNNNNNNNNNNNNNNNNNNNNNNNNNNNNNNNNNNNNNNNNNNNNNNNNNNNNNNNNNNNNNNNNNNNNNNNNNNNNNNNNNNNNNNNNNNNNNNNNNNNNNNNNNNNNNNNNNNNNNNNNNNNNNNNNNNNNNNNNNNNNNNNNNNNNNNNNNNNNNNNNNNNNNNNNNNNNNNNNNNNNNNNNNNNNNNNNNNNNNNNNNNNNNNNNNNNNNNNNNNNNNNNNNNNNNNNNNNNNNNNNNNNNNNNNNNNNNNNNNNNNNNNNNNNNNNNNNNNNNNNNNNNNNNNNNNNNNNNNNNNNNNNNNNNNNNNNNNNNNNNNNNNNNNNNNNNNNNNNNNNNNNNNNNNNNNNNNNNNNNNNNNNNNNNNNNNNNNNNNNNNNNNNNNNNNNNNNNNNNNNNNNNNNNNNNNNNNNNNNNNNNNNNNNNNNNNNNNNNNNNNNNNNNNNNNNNNNNNNNNNNNNNNNNNNNNNNNNNNNNNNNNNNNNNNNNNNNNNNNNNNNNNNNNNNNNNNNNNNNNNNNNNNNNNNNNNNNNNNNNNNNNNNNNNNNNNNNNNNNNNNNNNNNNNNNNNNNNNNNNNNNNNNNNNNNNNNNNNNNNNNNNNNNNNNNNNNNNNNNNNNNNNNNNNNNNNNNNNNNNNNNNNNNNNNAAAAAAAAAUCCCCGAAGCCCCCGCGAAACGCGGGGAAGACGCCGUACAAACUCAGCUUUUACUAUAUGUAUUGAUUGAUCCCAUAUUUGUCUAGCAUUAGCUUAAAUAUAAGAUUGGUCAUAUAGAUGUUGGAUAAGUUCAGAAGAAGUAACUGAGUUGAUGGAUGCAUGAAGUAAAAACGACAUCAAGUUGAUUGCACAGAGAAAAUGCAGGAUCAAGAAUAGAAGUAUUUUAACAUCAUUAGAAAUAGAUUUAGGAGGACACAUAUCCAAACUAAUGACAUGGCCUUAGGGGUGGAAACGAGCCGAGCACAAGCAAGCUUGUCUUAGCUCAAAUUCGGCUUGAAAUUAAUUUCGAGCCUAAAUUUAGGCUCAAGUUUGGAUUGAAAUUAAUUCGAGCCGAGCUUGAGCGAGCCUAAUUUCGAGUCGAGCGAGCUGAAGCCCUAAACGAGCCGCUUGAAAUUCUCAAUAUCAUAGGGCCAAUUGUUUAAUUUGUAUAAAAUAUUAUCUACAAUUUGAAACAAAAACAUAUCUAAUAGUUCAAGAUAUAAAAUAAUUAUAUGAAAUACAGUAUUAUAAUAUGAAGAAAAAAAGUUUAUGAGUUGAAUAUCUAAUCUUUUCAGCUUCGCAUGUCGAUCUUCUCUUCCACCUUCAAUCUCCACAUUAUUUUUUUUCAUUUAUGCGGUCAAAAAAUGAAUAAAUUAUAUUGGCAAAUAUUGGAUUAAACUAUCCAAUCAUAUAUAACUAAAAAUCAAAAUUUUGUAUAAACAAUAAGUUUUUACUUUAAAAAUAUUCUGUAUAUUUUUUCAAACACACAAUUAAUGACAAGGUAGGCAACGGCGGACGCGUGUUGUUAUUUGGCAACUUGGGAGGAUUCAGACUUGGCCGCUUAGGGUGAAAGACAGAGAAAAAGAGAGAGAGAGAGAAAGAGAUUAGGGAUUUAAAGCUCUGUGAAAGAAAAAGAGGGAGAGAGUGUAAAUUUAGUGAAAUUUUGCCCUUUUGUUUGUCUAUUGGGCUUGUUUUUAUGGGCCAGCAAUAUUGGCCUAAUUUUAAUUAAAUUCAGAUUACUCACUCAGCCUAUAUAUAAUUAAAAUAUAUUAUAUUUAUAUAUUUUUUAAUAUAUAUAUAUAUAUAUAUAUAUAUAUAUUCGAGCUUUUCGAGUCUAAUUCGAGCGAGCCAAGUAAUACUCAAGCUCGGUUUGAAAUGAAUUUUGAGCCUUUUCUUUUGGUCAAGCUCGGCUUACUUAAUUUCAAGUCGAGCUCGAGCGAGUCGAAUAUCGAGCCAACGUGAGCCGACUCGCUCACUUGCCAGCCCUACAUGGCUUUCAAGACCAUAUAUAUGCUAGCUCAAGGAACAUAUGUAAAGACACUUCCAAAAUAACAUAUAAUCUUGAGAAUAAGAAGUUGUUAGUAAAAAUUUCAAAAUUCUCUAAUUAUUAUUUUCUUUAAUAUAUUUUAGUACUAUUAUUUAAUUUAUUAUUAAUUUAAUUAACCUAAGAUUUUAUUGUGAACGUUUCGGCUUGUGUCUCAUGCACACCGGCUCUUCGCGCUCCACUACUCUGUACACGUUAUAAUUACAUCAUAGUAUAUAGGGCUCGUUUGGUUCGAGUUAUGUAAUAUUACAAAGUAUCUCGACAUAUCCAGGUAUCUUGGAUUUCGGCGUGAGAUUACUACUGAUACUGCAUUAGAGCAUUUGGUUUAAUACAGUAAUAUAAUACUAGAUUACAGUGUUUAUAGCAUUAAUAUAUUUGGUUCAGUUUAUAAAAUUUAGUAAUCCUGACAUAAAAGUAUAGUUUUUUUCAAAAUUCUCCUUGUUGUGGUCAUUUGAAUAUUAUUUUUUGCAGAAAUGACGAAUGGAGGGAAGGAGAUCGUGAUGAUUACUUGAAAGGACAAUGCAAUAGAAGAUGAUAGGUGUUCGUGCGAGAGAAAGAGAGAGAGAGAGAGAGAGAGCGAGAGAAAGCGGCGUGCGAGAGAGAGGGCUGGGGGGAAGGAGAGAGAGAGAUGAAAAUAAUGCUGUUAAUUAGAUUUGGGGUUGUUUGAGGGUAAAAUUGUCAUUUUAUAUAAUAUGUAGUAUUAAAGGGUUUCAGUAAUGCAAGAUACACGGCCCCCCUCCCGUUAAUAUUUUCGAUGUAAUCCUGCUCGAUUUGUAAUGCUAUAUUAACGACUAGAUUACAUAUCGGAUUAACCAAACACAGUUAUCCUAACAGAAUUGCCUAUAAUCCUGCCAGGAUAACUGGAACCAAACACACCCAUAUAUUAAUGUCUGCAGGGCGCUCUCUUGUUCAUGUGAAUGCAUACAUAUAUGAAUGAGAGCUGCUGAUUAAAAGGAUAAUUUUCAACAGUUAAUUUUAAUUUUUUUUUUAGUAUUUUCAUUCAUUUUAUUUGAUCUUUUUAUCGCCGAGUGUUGAAAGAGAUUUUGUCAACCUCUUUCGCGUUCGUGCUCGUAGGAGUAGUUCCGAUCGUACCUUGGGAUGGUGUUUCUGGUUAAUCCCGCACGAAGGACAGAAAAACGCCUUAGGGUAGUACUAUGCAUGCUUCCGGAUGAGUCAAAUUAUUUAUUUAUUUGGAUUUUAGCGUUCACCUGUAAGUACAUUUAUUAAUAUUCAUCACAAAAUUUGGUUAGAUUUUAAUUAUAAUCGAAUUUCGGUGCGGUAAAUUUAUGUAACAUAGGUGACUAAGACAAACUAGGUUGGCACAAGGUUUGUAAUAUAUAUUGAAAGCCUGAAUGAAUAGGGGGGCUCACUCUGAUGAUAAAAACUCACUACUAUAAAUUCAUGAUUUAGCGACAUUUACUCCGUAGCAUUUAUUUAAAUAACGCUAAUUAAUAUAUUUAACAGUAUUACUUGAUAAGUGCCGCUAAAUUUAAUAAUUUAUCAGCAAUUUACUAUUAAUGUUGCAAAAUAUAAUAAAUUAGCAACAUAAAUUUGUGAAUGCCGCCGAAGUUUUCACCAUUUUAUAAAAAAUGACACUAAAUCUAAUAAAGUAGCAGCACUUAUUGCUAAAUGCCGCAAUAUUUGCUCCGUAAUAUUUAUUUAAAUCAUGUCAAUUAAUAUAUUUAGCAGCAUUACUUGAUAAUUGCUGCUAGAUUUAAUUAUUUAGCAACAAUUUACUAUUAAUGUUACAAAAUAGGAUAAAUCAGCAGCAUAAAUUAGUAAAUGCCGCUAAAUAUAAUAAACUAGCAGCACUUGUUACUAAUUAUCAUUACUAAUUAAUAUAUAAUUAUUAAUUUAUUCUUUUUUAUUUAAAAUUAAAAAUUUUAAAUUUACAGUUUAAAAUUAGAAACAUAUAAUUUAAAAAUUAAACUUAUAAUUUAAAAUUUUAAAUUCUAAAAUUUUUAAUUUUUAAAUUUUAAAUUUUAAAUUUUUAAAUUUAUUUUAAAUUUCAAAUUUCAAAUUUAAAACUAUUAAUUUUGCAACUUAAAAUUUCAUAUUUCAAAAUUAAAAAUUUAAAUUUAGUAUCUAAAUAUAAAAAUUUAAAAUUUAGAAUUUUAAAAUUUUAAAAUAGAAAACUUAAAAUUUAAAAAAAAUUAAAAUAUACAUAAUUAAUAGUCGCUAGCGCAAGUGGCAAAGGGCUCGAUGGUUGGUAUUUGAGGUCUCAAGUUUAAAUCCUAGUUGAUUCACAUUUCCAGUAAAAUUUAUUUAAAAAGAAAUAAACGAAGCGGGUAGUAUCUCAAAAAAAUUAAAAUUUUAAAAUUUUAAUUUAUAAAAUCAGAUAUUUGUAUUAGUGGCAUUAUAUUUAUGUGACACUAAUAAAAAAUUUAAAAUAAGUAUUUAAUCCAUUUUAGCGGCAUAUUCCUAAUGACACUAAUUGAUUUAUAUUGGCGGUAUUUAUAAUAAAUGCUGCUAAUACUUUUAGCAACAUUAGUAUAGGCAGCAUUUGGUAUCAUAUGCUGCUAAAACUUUUAGCAGCAUUUGUUGAUUAUUCAGCAACAUAAAUAAAUGCCAUUAAUGAUUAAUUUUCUAGUAGUGACUACUUGGGAAGAAUAGAGAGAAUUAGAUGAAGGAGUGGGAGAAUCAUGCACCCACUGAGAAGGAACUGAAGAAAUAAGGAGCUGUUGUAGCUUUGAUACUAGAGCAAUGCUGUAAGGACUGAGAUUUUUGCAGUGUAGCUAAACUCUCAGUUGACGAUGUUUUUGUGUGUAAUUUAAUUAUAAAAGCACUCGUCAAGUUUCGGGCGAAAUCGAGUUAAAACGGAAAUUCUACGCGAUUUCCAAGUUUCACUUAAAGUGAAUAGUAACUCGAUUUUCCGGAGAAGCCGCGGUGAGAAGUUGGCUUCUUGCUCGUACCGGACUCUGUUCAUAGCAGUCCAAUAGCUCGUUUCGACUGGGUCAGCUAUUCUGGAACUAAUGGCGCUGACGGAUUUUGAGUUCGACGCACGGAUUUCGAGAAAAUCAAAAAAUACAUGUUUUACAUGUAUUUAUGUGUGUGUUUUCUUCUAUUCGAAGAAAGUUGGAUUUUGUCGUGAAUCCGUGGUCGAUCAAGACGAAACAAAAUCGUAGCCUUGUUGUCUCCGUCGUGCUGAUCGCACUGGUGCAAUCCGUUCGCAAAUCUGACGGACGGAUCUGCGGAGAUCGCGCGUUGAUCGAGGACCCAAGAAGGAUGAGAGGGGAGCCGAGAAAAGAAGAGAUGACGAGAGGAGAGAGGCCAGGGUAUAAAAAAAAAAAAAUUCCCCGAACAGCCUCGGCCGCGAAAGCGGGGAAGACCCUGUAAAACUCAGCUUUUUAUAUAUGUAAUUGAUUGAUCCCAUAUUUGUCUAGCCAUUAGCUUAAAUAAAGAUGUCAUAAUAAUGAUUUGGGAUAAGUUCAGAAGAAUAACUGAGGUUAGAUGCAUAAGUAAAAAACGACAUCAUUGAUUGCACAGAGCAAAUGCAGGAAUCACCGAAUAUAAUUAUUCUUAACAUCAUUAGAAAUAGAUUUUAGUUAGGACACAUUAUCCAAACUAAUGCACAUGCCUUAGGUGCAACCGCCGAGCACAAGCAAAAGCUUUUGUCUAGCUCAAAUUGCUUGAAAUAUAAUUUUUCGAAGCGCUAAAUUUAGCUCAAAGUUCUGCGAUUGCAAUGUAAUUUCGAGCCGAUAUGAGCGACGCUAAUUUCGAUCGAGCGAGCUGAAGCCCUAAACGACCGCUUGAAAUCUCAUAUCAUAGGGCCAAUUGUUAAUUUUAAAAAUAUAAUCUACAAUUUGAGAACAAAAACAUACUCUAAUAGUUAAGAUUAUAAAAUAUAUUAGAAGAUAACAGUAUUAUUACAAUAUGAAAGAAACAAAGUUUAGAGUUGAAUUAUCUAAAUCUUUCCAGCUUCGCAAUGGUCGAUCUUCUCUCCACGCUUCAUCUCCACAUUUAUUGUUUUUCAAUUUAUGCGGUCAAAAAUGAAUAAAAUUAUAUUGGCAAAUAUUGGAAUUAAACGAUCCAAUCAGAUAUUAACUAAAUCAAAUUUUGUAUAAACAAUAAGGUUUUACUAAUUAAAAUAUUCUAGUAUAUUUUUCAAUUACAACACAAUUAAUGAAAGAGUAGGCAACGCGAACGUUUUGUUAUUGCAACUUGGAGGAUCAGGACGUUGGCCGCUUAGGGUAAAGACAGAGAAGAAGAGAGAGAAGAGAAAGAGAUUAGGAUUUAAAGCUCUGUGAAAGAAUAAAUAAAGAGGGAGAGAGUGUAAAUUCUAGUAAGAUUUUGCCCUUUUGUUUGUUCUAUUGGGCUGUUUUUAUGGCCAGCAAUAUUGCCUUACAUUUUAAUUAAAUUAGAUUACUCACUCAAGCCCUAUAGAUAAUUAAAAUAUAUUAUAUUAUAUAUUUUUAAUAUAUAUAUUAUUAUAUAUAUAUAGUGAUAUUCGAUGCUUUUCGAGUCUAAUUCGAGCGAGCCAGGUAAUAUUCUACUCAGAGCUGCGGUUUGAAAUGAAUUUUGAGCCUUCUUCUCGUUUGUCAACUCGUCUUACAUUAUAGUUGCAAGUCUGACUCGAGCGAGUCGAAUAUCAGCCAACGUGAGCCGACUCGCUCACUUUGCAGCCCUACAUGGCUUGUCAAGACCAUAUAUAGUGCUAGCUCAAGCGAACAUAUGUAAAGACACUUCCAAAAAACAUAUAAAUUGAUGAUAAGAAGUUGUUUAGGUAAGAAUUUCAAAAAUUCUCCUAAUUAUUUAUUUUCUUUAUUAAUUUAGUACUAUUAUUUUAUUUAUUAUUAUUUUUAAUAACCUAAGAUUUUAUUGUGAACGGUUUGCGGCUUGAUGUCCAUGCACCCGGCUCUUCGCGGCGUCCACACUCUGUACACGUUAUAAUUAGCAUAAGUAUAAGGGCGCGUUGGUUCGAGUAUGGUAAUUUACAGAAUAUCGUCGACAAUUAUCUAGGUAUCUUGGAUUUCGGCGUGAGAUUAACUACUGAUACUGCAAUUAGAGCAUUUGUUUAAUACAGAUCAAUAAUACUAGAUUACAGUGUUUUUAUAGCAUUAAUAUUUUUGUUCAUUUAUAAAUUUGUAAUCUGAAUAAAAGCUAAGUUUCUUUUCCAAAAUUUCCUUGUGUGGUCAUUUGAAAUUAUUUUUUGGCAGUAAAUCGAAUGGAGGAGUGAAGAAGUCGUAGAUUUACUGAAAAGGACAAUCAAUCCAGAAGAUAAUAGGUGUCCGUGCGAGAGAAAAGAGAGAAGAAUGAGAGAGAAGAGCAGCGAGAGAAAGCGCGUGCAGAGAGAGAGGCUGGGGGAAGGAGAGAGAGAAUGAAAAUAAUGGCUGUUAAUUAAGAUUGGGCUUGUUUGAGGGUAAAAUUUGUCAAUUUUAUAUAAAUUAGAUAUAAAGGGUUUCAGUAUAUGCAGAUAUAAACGCCGCCCCUACCGUUAUAUAAUUUUCGAAUGUUACAUCACGCUCGAUUUGUUAAGCUAUAUUAAAGACUAGAUUACAAUAUCGGAUUAACAAACACCAGUUAUCCUAACAACAAUUGCCUUAAUCCUGCAGAUAACUGGAACCAAACACAGCCCUAUAAUAUUAAUUCUGCAGGGCGCUCUCUGUUCGAGGAUGAAGCAUAACAUGAUAUGAAUGAGAGCUGCUGGAUUAACAGGAUAAUUUCAAAGUUAAUUUUAAUUUUUUUUUAGUAUUUCAAUUCAUUUUAUUUGUAUCUUUUUAAUCGGAAGUUGUGAAAGAGAUUUUGUCACCUCUUUCCGGCGUUUCGUCUGUAAGGAGUAGUUUCCGAUCGAUUACUUUGGAUGGUGUUUCUGGUUAAUCCCGCGACGAAGGACAAAAAAACGUCCUUAGGAGUAACUAUGCAUGCCUUCCGGAUGAGUCAAUUAUUAUUAUUUGGAUUUUAGCGUCACCCUGUAAGUAAUUAUUAAUAGUUCAUCACAAAAUUCUGUUAGAUUUUAAAUAUAACGAUAUUUCGUGGGCGGUAAAUAUAUGUAAAUCAGUGACUAAAGACAAACUAGGUUGCAACAAGGGUUGUAAUAUAUAUUUGAAAAGGCCUGAUGAAUGUGGGGGCUCACUCUGAUGAUAAAACUCACUACUAUAAUUAUUAUGUUUAGCGACAUUUUACUUCCGGUAGCAUUUAUUAAUAUAACUGCUAAUCUAAUUAUUACAGUAUACUUUGAUAAGUGCGGCUAAGUUUAAUAUAUUUAUCAGCAAUUACGUAUUACAUGUUGGCAAAAGAAUAAUAUAUAGCAACAUAAAAUUUGUGAAUGCCGCCGGAUAGUUUUCAUCCAUUUUAUAAAAAAUGACACUAAAUCUAAUAAAUAGCAGACUUAUUGCUAAACCGGAAAAAAAAAAAAGAAAAAAAAAAAAAAAAACAAAAAAAAAAAAAAAAAAAAAACGCAAUAUUUGCUCGUAAUAUUAUUAAAUCAUGUCAAUAAUAUAUUAAGGCAGCACAUUACUUGAUGAAUUGCUGCUGAUUUAAUUUAUUACGACAAAUUUACUAUAAUGUUACACAAAUGGAGGAUAAAUACAGCAGGCCAUAUAAAUUAUAAUGCCGGUAAAUAGUAAUAAACUAGGGCAGCACUUUUACUAAUUAUCAUUAUAAUUAAUAUAUAAGUUAUUAAUUUUUCUUUUUUAUUUAAAAAUUAAAAAUUUAAAUUUACAGUUUAAAUUAGAAAACAUAUAUUGUAAAAUAAACUUAUAAUUUAAAAUUUUAAAUUCUAAAGAUUUACAUUUUUAAAUUUUAAAUUUAAAUUUUAAAUUUAUUUUAAAUUUCAAAUUUCAAAUUUAAAACUAUUAAUUUGGCAACUUAAAUUUCCAUAUUUUCAAAUUAAAAAUUUAAAUUUAGUAUCUAAAAUAUAAAUAAUUUAAAAUUUAGAAUUUUAAAAUUUUAAAAUAGAAAACUUAAAAUUUAAAAAAAAUUAAAAUAACAUAAUUAAUAGUCGCUAGCAAGUGCAAAGCUCGAUGGUUGGUAUUCUGAGGUCUCAAAGUUAAAAUCCUAGUUGAUUCACAUUUCCAGUAAAAUUUAUUUUAAAAAAGAAAUAAACGAAGCGGGUAGAUCUCAAAAAAAAUUAAAAUUUUAAAAUUUUAAUUUAUAAAAAUCAGAUAUUUGUAUUAGUGGCAUUAUAUUUAUGUGACACUAAUAAAAAUUUAAAAUAAGUAUUUAAUCCAUUUUAGCGGCAUAUUCCUAAUGACACUAAUUGAUUUAUAUUGGCGGUAUUUAUAAUAAAUCUGCUAAUACGCUUUUAGCAACAUUAGUAUAGGCAGCAUUUGGUAUCAUAUGCUGCUAAAACUUUUAGCGCAUUUUUGAUUAUUCAGCAACAUAAAUAAAUGCCAUUAAUGAUUAAUUUUCUAGUAGUGACUACUUGGGAAGAAUAGAGAGAAUUAGAUGAAGAGUGGGAGAAUCAUGCACCCACUGAGAAGGACUUGAAGAAAUAAGGAGCUGUUGUAGCUUGAUACUAGAGCAAAUGCUGUAAGGACUGGAGAUUUUUGGCAUGUAAGCUAAACUCUCAGUUGACGAUUUUGUGUGUGUAAUUUUAAUUAUAAAAGGCACUGUGCAAGUUUCGGUGCGAAAUCCGAGUUAAAACGAAAAUCUAACGCGUUUCCAAGUUUCACUUAAAGUGAAUAGUAAGCUCGAUUUUCCGGAGAAGCCGCGGUGAGAAGUUGUGCUUUUGCUUCGUACCGGACUCUGUUCAUAGCAGUCCAAUAGCUCGUUUCGACUGGGUCAGCUAUUCUGGAACUAAUGCGGCUGACGGAUUAGUUCGACGCACCGGAUUUCGAGAAAAUCAAAAAAUACAUGUUUUACAUGUAUUUUAUGUGUGUGUUUUCUUCUAUUCGAAGAAAGUUGAUUUUGUCGUGAAUCCGUGGUCGAUCAGACCAAACAAAUCGUCGUAGCCUUGUUGUCUCCGUCGUGCUGAUCGCACUGGUGCAAUCCGUUCGAAAAUCUGACGGAACGGAUCUGCGGAGAUCCGCGCGUUGAUCGAGGAGAGGUCGUAGUGGCAAAAUGUAUUUUCGCGAAAGUCGCGAUAUUUUAUGUACCGUUUUGCGUGAGAUCGCACGUGGAGGGUCGUUCACUCGGGCGUUUUAGUCGUUCGUGAAGGGCUCGGAUUGAAAUUCCGGUGUUUGGUGUACCUUUUUGCUAUUGUACCUGUUAUAUGUAGUUUCUAGGGUUUUGUUCCCUAACCCUAACCCUAGCCAGCCCCCAGCUACCCUCACAGUCGCCCCCAGCCACCUUCACCCUUCCCCUGCCCUUGCUGCACCACCCCCGGCCGCCGCCGAGCCACCACUUCUCUCUUUCUCACAUCUCUUCCUCUCUCCCUCUCCUCCUCUCGGGUUGUGUGAAGGCCCGGGCUGCGCCUCCUGCAGACCCCUCCCUCGGUGUCACCCCGGCUCCGGCGAGCAUCCCCGCCGACCGCCGCCGUCGGCUGCGCCGGCCGCAGCCUGCCCAGCCGCCUGCAGCAGCCCAGGCCGAGCCGGGUUGGCAGCCACCUGUGGCGCCGCCACCGCCUGGGAACCCUCCGCCGACUUCUCCCGUCCCGGCCCCCUUUCCGCCGUCACCACCGCCCCGACGCGCCGCCGUCGCCGCCUCGCCAGCCGCAGCCGCCCAGCCCCGCUCUGCGCGAGGCAGCAGUGCGACGCCCCCCUGCGCCGCGCCGGCUUGGGUCCGCACCCGAGGCACUCUCCCGACCUCGUGCAGCCCGCCUCCCGCCGUCCCGGAGCUCCCCGGCGCCGCCGUGGCCGCAGCAACCCAUGAACCCGAGCCCGAUCUCGUGCGGGCUCGUUUGCUCUCGGGGCCGCCGCCGCCGCCGCCGCUUCCAGCCGCCACCUGAGGUGAGCACGGUACUCCUAACCUCCCCGCACCCGUCCUGCCGCCGCGCGCGCCCGCCGUGCCGCCGGAGGGCCGGCCGGAGCAAGGUUGCUCCGCCAGCCCAAAUAGGCUUAUUAGUGAUGAUUUGUGUUCUGAGCUUCCCGAGCUUCCGCCAUCUCUACGAAGGGAGCACGAUGAUCCUAGCAAGUUUCUGAUCAUCGUGCUCACCUUAUUUCUGUCGGGAGACUCCGUUCCGCUGUUUUCGCGAUGUCGCUCUCCGUUUCAGCCUUUUUGGCUGCGUUUUGAGUUUGCGCACGCUUAUCCGGCAAUCCGAGGCUGUCCUGACUCCGGAGUGAGCACGGUGAUCGUGGGUCAGUGCUGAUCACAGUGCUCACCUCACUUUGAUCAGAAAUGUCCGUUAGUUUCUGUUCGGCGCGAUCUUCCCUGACUGCGCGCUAUUGCUGAACCUUCGGCUUGCUCCCGUGCUUCCCAUAGCGAAGCCGCUGUGCUCGCGGAUCGUGAGCACGGACUCCGGUAAUCGAGACCUGUCAGUAACGUGUCUCUGGCGGACUUCGAAAGUCCUCGUUUGCGUGAACGAGCCGCUUGAAAAGCCUCAAUAUUACAUAAAAUACGAUAUUUUAUGUAAUUAGAGGGUCUUUUAAUGCAUUUUGUGCUUUGCGUGGCUACUGUGGCAAGUGUGUAGGAGUUUUUAUUGAUCGCUGGAUGAUUGUCCAUGUCCGUUAGCUUUCGCGGAAGUCGUAGGUCGAUUUCGGUGCGUUUUUCGGCGAAAUUCGCCGAAAGAUAUGCGUUUCGUUUCGGAUUCUUUCCGACGGUGUUUUGUUGCUUCGUUGUUUGUCGCUGAGCCUUGUGGGCUGUCACCAUCGUCAUUUUGUGGGUUCGAUGAUGAUAGGUGAGCGACGGAGUUCGGUGUCGAAAUAACACUUCCGGAACCCGAUCCGUACGAUUUAUCCGGCGAUGAUCGUAUUGUUGUGUGACCUUGUGUUCGCUGCCAAGCUAUCCAAAUUGGAAUGCUUUGGGCCAGCGGGUGACUCGUGGCACGAUUUGGUGAGUUUCGGGACACUUAGUGGCCCGACGCGUCCCGUGUGGUUUUCGGGACUUCCGGUAAGUUACGGGGAUCGUUUUGGGAAACCGAUUCGGGAUCCUGUGUAGGGUUUGUGAGUCCUCGUGCUUUGGGUUAGUAGUUUUGGAUACUGACUUGGUGGAUCUUCUUAGGUCCGGUAGACUUGUGCUACCCAUUGUCCCGACGCGACAGUGACAGGUGGGUGCUGUCGAGCUGGUAGUCCGGUGAGAGCGUUUCACUUCCUUCUCCUGUUUUUCUAUUCCUGUAUUUAGACUCUACAUGUCAGUGCUUGUUAUCGUUGGUUAUCGUACCCCUUGAUGCAUUGUAUAUUUGUGGAUAGACAUGUAGAGCAGGUUGCAUUUGUAUUUCAGUAUCUCUGUGGAACCUUGGUCCAGGCAACACAUCGACUCUCUUGUCGUGUGUUUCGAUCUGGUUGAUUCGAGGUUCCGCGUUGUACGCCCUAGCUUCUAUUCAGUUUGGCGUUGUACGCCCUACUUCUAUUCAGUUUGGCAUUGUACGCCCUAGCUUCUAUUCGGUUUGGCAUUGUACGCCCUCGUUGUUGCUUCGGCUAGGCACCGGCUUUAGCCGGGUUUUGUUUUGUUUGAGCAUACCAGCAUUGACUUAGUCACAGCACUUGGGGGUAUUCAUGACACCGAUCGGUUUGGCCACGAUCGGAGGUUGUACUUAUCGCGAUAGGUCUCCUGCGGGGCGGAUGGAUAGGUCGUGCAGUUAGUAGACAGUAGCGCUUGAGGUCUGCGGACCGAUACAGCAGGCACAGAAUUGGGUACAGUUUCUGGUUCAGUUACAUUGAGGCAUUCUUUGCAUUAUUUUCUAUACAGUAGCAGGUUUAUUUAUUGCUUCUAUUUUAUCUGUUGUAGCUACCUGUAUUCCUAUUUCAUUUCAGCUUACAGAUAUUAUAUUUGUUUAUCUAUCUCCUUUCGGUUCGGUGAUUACGACUGCCUUCGGGCUCUGUCGUACCCACUGAGAAAAACCAUGGUUCGGUCUCUCACCCCCCUUUUUCCGCCCAAGGUGACAGAGACGAGGAUUUGGAUUUGGGCUCGAUGAAGGACGAUCUAGUUAGACCGGCAGUAGCGUCCGUCACCCUGGUUAUUUCUUUCCCGCCUUUUAGUAGUCAGUUAAAUAAAUGGUUCAGUUAGAUGUUUGAAUGUUUGUAUUUCCGUUAUGCAUGAGAUUAUGGAUAUUUUAUAUUACAUAGAGAUUGGAGGUUUUCGUUCGGUGUUUUGGUUCUGUGAGAUUGGUUUUCUUGUAAGUUAUGGCAUCGUGGUUUUCUACCCCUCGAGGUAGCGGUUUUCAAAAUAAAGUUUCCGUGUGGGAAACAGUUUUAAAAAGUUUUCGAAUGGCUUUUAAAAUGAUUGAAUUAGAGUUUAAAAACAAAAGCUUCCGUGUGGGGAGCACUUUAAAUAGGAUGUGUGUUGAAUUGUGCAUUGCAUCAUCCAGCGCCUAAAGUUCUUAGAGGCAUGCAGGCAUUCUAAGAAUUGUUAGCUGUAUGAAAAUGCAUAUCAUACUUGGUGUUGUUUGGUAAAUGUAGGUUUGGUGUGAUCUGUUGUAUCGUUGGUACGCCGUGCAGAUACAAAGGAGACUCCUGUCCGAGUGGACAGAGGAACUUUGUAUUUUGGCGGAUCUGUACGCGCGUGGCCAGGUUGAUNNNNNNNNNNNNNNNNNNNNNNNNNUUGAAAAAAAAAAAAAAAAAAAUGGCACGUUUUCCGCAACUCUGUUUUAAAAAGACUUUUAAAAUCGGCCCCGGGGCGUGACAAAUGCUGGGGAGGAGAUUACAGCCCUUUCCUUGUUGUGUUGUAAGCUUACCAUUUCUCUUGAUACUAUGUCAAUUAGAAACAAAAAAAAAUGAGGGUGAAUUGCACAUUUGGUCCUCAAACUUUGACGCAUGCGAAGCUUUAUUUGAUAAACUUAAUUUUCACAAUGUUCUCUUAACUUUUUGAACUAUUUCAAUAAGUCCUACAGUCCAAUUUCGUUUGCCUACUGAUGUUUUAUAGAUGUGAUAGAAAUAUAGUCUAGCUCCUAAUAAUUGUCAUGCCAUCAAUUAUAAGAUUGCCACAUCACUACUAUAUUCAGGACAUUUCAUCAUUUAACCAAUUAGAUUGGACUUUCGGACUUUAUUGUAAUAGUUUCCAAAGUUUAAGUUAGAAGAACCAACAAUUAAAGUUUAAGGGUCAAAAUGUCCUGACUCAAAGUUUGAGGAGAAAAAGUACAAUUUAGCCAAAAACUUAUGUGAGUCACCACUCCUUUCUGAGUAGGGGUGAAAACAGUCGAAUACGAUCGGAAAUUUGACGAACCUAUAUUUUGCAUCCAAAUUUUUUCAGAUGAGAAUUCAAAUGUGGAUAUAUAUCGAAUGCUAAAUUUUUAUUAUUGUAACGACUCAGCUCACUAGCAACAAUAACUCGUUGGGCCCAACAACCGGCCCAAAAUCAAUGACAACCCCAUGCAUUCCCAUCCGAUGUGGGACUAUUGAGGUGUCACAGACUCCCCCCGUUAAGGCCCUGACGUCCUCGUCAGUCCAAUCACACACACAGCCCAAGAUCACCAGGCGAUGUGAGACUCGUCUCGCUAGCCCGUCAUCCAGACCCUGGCUCAGCCGAAACUCGCCACACAUGUCCAGCUGGUGAACCGGCUCUGAUACCAAAUGUAACGACCCAGCCCACUAGCAACAAUAACUCGUUGGGCCCAACAACCAACCCAAAAUGCUUAAGCCCAGUUAUUAUUACUAGUGUCUAAGUCUCUUAUAAACCCAAUGACAACCCCCAUUCCCAUCCGAUGUAGGACUAUUGGGGUGUCACAAUUACCAUAUCCGCUAAAAACGGAUUCGAAUAAGAUCAGCUAUUUCUUCGAAUUCGAAUAUUAUUCAGAUAGUUAUAUAUACUAAUACGCACAUAUGAAUAUGAACUAGAAUUAGCAAUAAUUAAUUAAAAGUUUACAUUCGUGUUCGAAUUUUUAAAUACCUAUAUUUUAUUGAAUAACAUCUAGAAUUUAACAAACAUAACUACAAUUUUGAUAUAAAACUCAUAAUAAAAUAAAUGAAAAACACAACAAACCGCGCGCUUUAUUCCCCCACAAUAUAUGUAAGUAUUAACAAACAGCGCGCUUUAUUCCCCCACAAUAUAUAUAAGUAUUAACUUCCCCUUAUCUCCCCACAAAAAGCUUUCAAACCCUAAUCAACAUUUCCAAUUCCAAAUUUAUAAUUAUAAUUUAAUCUUAAAUUUAAAUUUAAAUAAUUAUUAUUAACUUUUAAAAAAUAAUUUGAGGUCUCUCACAUACGAGAGCUAUCUACCAUCUAAGCUACGUACCUAUUUUUUAUUUUUUCAUAAUAUAAUAAUAUGAGUUAAUAACAUAUAUUAAUUUUCAGAUAUCGAUCCGAAUCCGAAUCUGAAUCCAAAUUAUUCAUAUCCGAAUGUGAAUUCUAAAAUAUUAUUAAUGAAAUAUUUAAAUUCGAAUUCGGCCGGGUGCAUAAUUUUGACAUCCGUGUUCGCAUCCAAUUAUAUUGAAUCCGAUCAGAAUUUAUCUUAACCACUUUCGCCCCUAUUUCUGAGUUGUAUUUACAAUAUUACAAUAUCUAUACUACUUAUAAAAGCGUGAGUUUUAAAUUUUUUUCUCUUUCCAAAAAUAUCUCUAUAUUUUUUACUAAUAUUUUCACGUCCAGUAAUUUUCAACCAUUCGUUUCAAAUAAAUCUUCAAAUAAUAAUUUAUUCUCAAAUAUAGAUCUUAAGUUUUUGCCAUUGGAUCUCAUUCAAUGAAUAAAAAUAAAAGCAUUUGUCAUUUUUGUUGAAAAAAAAUGCCCUCCAUAUCCGUUAUCUCCUAUCUACGCGUUUGUCAAAUAUUUUCUUUCUACUUGCCAAUCACGUAAUACAUAAAAUUAAAAAUUAAAUUUAUCUCAAAUCUAAUGUAACGACCUAGCCCACUAGCAAUAAUAACUUAUUGGGCCCAACCACCAGCCCAAAAUGCUUAAGCUCAGUUAUUAUUACUAGUGUCUAAAUCUCUUAUAUACCCAAUCACAUCUCCAUUCAUAUCCGAUAUGUUUCUCAAAUAUUUUCUUUCUAUUUGCCAAUCAUUAAAGCCCAUUAGCAAUAAUAACUCGUUGGGCCCAACCACCAGCCCAAAAUACUUAAGCUCAGUUAUUAUUACUAGUGUCUAAGUCUUGACAUAGUCUAUCAUCUUAUCUUUCAGACCCUGUCUCAGCCGAGACUCACCACAUACCACUAGAAAUAAUAACUUGUUGGGCCCAACCAACAGCCCAAAAUGCUUAAGCUCAGUUAUUAUUACUAAUGUCUAAAUCUCUUAUAUACUCAUAUACUCAAUCACAUCUCCAUUCAUUUCCGACAUGGAAUUAUUGGGGUGUGACAUCUAACGUAAUACCCACCCAUCAUAUAGUACGUAAAAUUAAAUUUAUCACCGAUCUAACUUAAUACUCGCCAAUCACGUAAUAUGCAAAAUUAAAUUUAUCUCAUAUCCACGUGUUUUCUUAAAUAUUUUCUUUCUCAAACGUAAUACUCACCAAUCAUGUAGUAUUCAAAAUUAAAUUUUAAAUUUGUAAUGCCCGCCAAAAUUUAAUAUCGCCAAUUUGAUAAUUUAAAUUUUAAUUCUUGAUAGUCGAUUUUCUUAUGUGAGAUAGUAAAUUUAAUUUUGGCAAGUAUUAAAAUUUGGCGCGCUAUAGAAGCAUUACAUAUUGCUAAAAAAAUUUUAAUACCCGCCCAAUCAAAACUAAAUCGUUAAUUAAAUAUAAUUAUAAAUAUUUUUAGCAAAAUAUUCAAUAUUUAACUAAUGUGCUAUAAAAGCGUAGAAUAUUUUUUUAAAAAAAUUAAUACCCGCCCAAUCAACAAUAUUUAAGUAAUAACUGUCAAAAUAUUCUACGCAUUUCUCAAAUAUAGAGCAUAUCUUAACACCCUCACAUAUAAUAUCUACAGUAUCCAAUCUUAUCUCAUCAUAAUACUUAUCACACACUACCUGUCAAAAUAUUUUACACGUUUCUCAAAUAUAGAGAACAUCUUAAUACCCUCACAUAUAAUAUCUACAGUAUCCAAUCUUAUGUAAUCAAACUUAUCACACAAUACCCUCACAUAUAAUAUCUACAGUAUCAAAUCUUAUCUAAUCAAACUUAUCACAUAAUACAUAGAGCAUAGAAACGUUACAUACUGCUAAAAAAAAUUAAUACCCGCACAAUCAAAAUUAAAUCGUUAAUUAAAUAUAAUUUUAAAUAUUUUUAGCAAAAUAUUUAAUAUUUAAGUAAUGUGCCAUAAAAGCGUAGAAUAUUUCUAAAAAAAAAUUAAAUACCCGUUCAAUCAAAACUAAAUCGUUAAUUAAAUAUAAUUUUGAAUUUUUUUAGCAAAAUAUUUAAUAUUUAAGUAAUACCCGUCAAAAUAAUCUAUGCGUUUAUCAAAUAUAGAGCAUAUCUUAAUACUCUCACAUAUAAUAUCUACAGUAUCCAAUCUUAUCUCAUUAUAAUACUUAUUACACAAUACCUAUCAAAAUAUUUUACACGUUUUUCAAAUAUAAAGCAUAUCUUAAUACUCUCACAUAUAAUAUCUACUGCAUCCAAUCUUAUCUAAUCAAACUUAUCACACUAUACAUAGAGCAUAUUUUUUUUGGUAGCAUAUUUUUUUUAGUAUUUUCUCAUUUUCAUCUAUACGUUUUUCAAAUAUAAAACAUAUAUUUUUUUCAGUAAUGUUCUUUUUCAUUUUCACUUAUAUUUUUCUCAAUUAUUCUCAAAUAUUUUUUUUUAAUAAUAUCUUUUCUCAUUUGUCCCCGUUGCCAGCAGGUACAUCGUCAUCGUCCUCCUCAUCGUCAUCAUCAUCAUCGGCGCCGGCACAUUGUCGCCUUCACCACCUUCGCCAUAAUUGGAAAGGCAUUUUGAUCCCUAUUUCUCUUUUUUUUUUAAUAUGCCUUUAUACUUUUUUAACAUAUCUUAUUUUAGCAUAUCUUAUUUUAGUAUUUUUCUCAUUUUUCACCUAUACGUUUCUUAAAUAUAAAGCAUAUAUUUUUUUAGUAAUAAUUUUUUUUUAUUUUCACCUAUAUUUUUUAAAUAUUCUCAAAUAUUUUGUUACAUACCUGACUCUACGCAACCGGUCGAUGAUGAUAAUUUGCUGAGACGAGGACGGCGUGGAGGAUGAUGGCCAAUCAAAUCGGUAUCUCGACAACUACCUGUGAUGCCCCAACUUCCCAGGGGGUCACCCAUCCUAGGACUACUCCCGUCCUAGCACGCUUAACUCUCUUAACCUCUUGGGCCUUGCAACCACCCAAAAUGCUUAAGCCGGGUUAAGAGUUUAACCCUAUUAUAUCUCAUAUAUAGGACUAUCUGGGAUCUCACAAUCUCCCAUCAUUUUAAGCCUUGACGUCUUCGUCAGGCUCAGACUCACAAGUACCAGGCGAUGUGAGACUCAUCUCGCUAGCCCGUCAUCCAAACCCUGGCUCAGCCGAGACUCAUCUCACACUUCCGGCUGGUAAUUGUCAUAAUAUUUCAAUCAUUCAUUUCUUUGCAUUCUUUACUAUCACUUGUGUCAUAUACACUACUAUAUUCUUGGACUCAUGCCACACUUGUUUUCUAAGUGUUCAACAUGCCAUAAGUGUUUCCACUAUACUAAUCAUAUGCCACUCGAUCUAAUAUAUAUAGAUUGUCCACGUCACAUAUCAUAGUUCAUACGUCAUUGUUUUCCAACGUCGAGUUUUCUAACCAUCCAAGAGUUAUAGACCCAAGUUCAACAUGCAUAUGUUAUUUAACAUAGUCCACAAUACACCAACGUGCAUAUAUAUAUCAACUCAUAUCUCAAGGUAUAUCAACAUGCAUACAUUUCCAUCUACUAUGUUCCACAAUAUGAUAAUAUGUCAUCAAGUAUGUUUUUCUAUUUAAUAUAAUCCACAAUAUGUUAAUUCAUAAUAUGUCAUCAUGCACAUAUACCACUAGCAUCACAUGAUAUGUCAAUAUAGAUAUAGUCAUUAUCCAAAAUAGUUCAUACUUAGAAUCUCAUGCAUUCUUUUAGCAUUUAAUUUACUAUGCAUCUCAUCUCAUUGGUAGGUAAUCUCAACUACAUAGUAUGUUUCAAGCAUUCAUAUCAUUAUGUAAGCCUACCAACACAACUAUAUGCAUCAAUUAGAAAACCAUUACUCUUAGACAUAUAGGCGACCUAGUCGCUUCGGUGAGCACAACCCACCAGCAUGCCAUGACAUGUAACAAUUGCCAACUAGUACCCUAUAAUGCAAUAUCCCAAUAUGCAACUUGAUCAAUGUUAACUAGAGUUUGUAGUACAACAACCAAUCCAUUACUAAGUUCAAGUCAUAUGUGUUUUUAGCACAAUAAGUUCAAUGCCACUUGUAAACUAUGUCUUUAAACACAACACUAGGUUCUUCUCUCAUUUAGCAUCAUAGGUUUACCAAUGUCCUCUCAUAAUCCUUAUGUCUAUUACAUCAUAUAUCCAUAUCAUAAUACCAUAUUGAUCAUAAACAUCAUAUAAGGAUUAGGAAUGCAUGUAUUGUCAUCCUAUAAUGCAAGGUAUCGAUAUACAAUAUGCUACAUGUGAAUGGAUAAGUACUAAGACAUAGGAAGAAGCCCGAUUGCUUCGGGAUGUCACUCCCCCACUUUAAGUCCUUGCUCGAGGUUGUGGUAGCUCCCCCUCGGGUGAUGUGCUCCGGAGUCGACAUCACUGGGUUGUAGCGGGUAUCUCCCCAGAGGACGGUCCCACCGGGUUGUAGCGGGUAUCUCCCCGGUUAAUGGGAUUUUGGGUGGUGGCAAGUCCCAAGAGGUUAAGAGAGUUAAGCGUGCUGGGAUGGGAGUAGUCCUAGGAUGGGUGACCCCUUGGCAAGCUGGGGCGUCACACUACCCGUCCAAAUACUUGUGACUAAAUCAGUGAUGAGAGAAAGAGGAGGGGUUAAGCGAGAAGGAAAGAGAGAGGAAGGAGAGAGGAAGAGAUAGACAGGUAGUCGAGGAUUUGGAGGUGAGGAAGGAGGAAGAAGAUGAUAAGAAGAGCAAGACUUAACAAUUUCCAUAAAACCUAAUUAGGUUACAAUCUGCCUCUUUAUUCCCUAUACAAUGGACUAAAAUGCGAUUAAUAAAAACUAAACAAUGCUAAAUGAGAAUUGAGUUAUGAAUUGGGCUACUCAGCCUCCUCGUGGGUCGAAUUCGGUGGAACAUGGGCCUGCAAGGGAAACGACCUGGCCCACUGACCUCCUGUUGCCGGGUAAGCGGGUUUCGGGUCCUUCUCCUCUCAAUCUCCUCAAUCCGCCGGGUCUUGGGUUCGCUCUUUUUAUCCGCUCCAUCCUCCUCCCGCUUCGAUCCGAAGUUUCGCCUUGCUCCUAGUUUCUACCCCAUCACAUAGCCCUUCUUGCUGUCGCCACCUCCCCCAUGGACUCCUUGCUCCAUCUCGAUCACCAUGGCUGACCUGUUCGUGCUCCUCGGCUCCCUACAAGCAAAAGCUGAGCUCCCAUUAUCUCUUCUCUUUUUAUUCUUCCCUAAUUACUCUGAUUCUAUGCCUAACCCUAACUCCUCUCCUACUUGGCAGAUGUAACACUCCCUCUCCCUUAAUCUGAUCUUUGUCCUCAAGGAUCGAAAGAAGGGAACUGACUCUUGAGAACCCCGUAAUCUUCCGAUGUAGCGUGCUCGUCGGAAAGGUUCACCCAUUUCACCAACACUUCGGUCACAGCCUUAUUAUCCCUUUGUACCAUCCUCCUCUCCAGAAUCUUCUCAGGCUCUGUCAGUAACUCGUUAUUUUCUCUUAAAGUCGGCAUGUUCGGUAAAGCCGGAACAGUUGCUGGGGGGCUUUUCUUUAACAGAGACACAUGGAACACUGGGUGCACCCUUGACCCCUCAGGUAGUUGCAACUUGUAAGCGACUGGACCGAUGCGCUCCACAAUUUGGAAGGGUCCAUAAUAUCUCGCAGCUAACUUCAGGUUCCUCCUUAUAGCCACAGUGGUUUGUCUAUACGGUUGUAAUUUGAGGUAUACCCAAUCUCCUAUUGCAUACUCUUUCUCUCUUCGAUGUCGGUCGACCUGUUGUUUCAUCCUACUACGUGCUACUUGUAGCCGAUCUCUUAGCUCCCGAGUUAAGCCUUCCCUUUCCUUAGCCCAUUCUCUAAAUUCCGGAGAUGUGCUAGAAGUAAUCGUGGUUACCAAAUAGUUGGGGGGAGGGUAUCCGUCUAGCGCUUCGUAUGGUGUCAUACCUAUCGAGGAAUGAAAACUCGUGUUGUACCACCAUUCCGCCAAAGCCAACCAGGAAUGCCAUUUUUUUGGAUGUUGGAAGCAAAGGCAUCUUAGAUAAGUUUCCAAACAUCGAUUCACUCGUUCCAUUUGGCCGUCAGUCUCCGGAUGAUAAGCCGAGCUCAUUUGCAAUUUAGUUCCCAUGGACUGAAAAAGCUCCUUCCAAAACUGACUUGUGAAUAUUUUGUCCCUAUCUGAGACUAUCCUCUUCGGACAUCCGUGCAAUUUACAAAUGGUAUCCAUGAAAGUUCUUGCCACUCCUGGUGAAAAUGGGUGCUUUAAGGACACAAAAUGGGCGUACUUCGUAAGUCUAUCCACUACGACCAUAAUCGCAUCCUUUCCUUCUGAUUUGGGUAGGGCUUCUAUGAAAUCCAUACUUACCUCCUCCCAAACUUGCUGUGGUAUAGGUAGGGGCUGCAGUAAGCCUGCAUGUGGAGUUCUAUUCACCUUGUUCUGAGCGCAUGUUGCACACCCUUUUACCCAUUCUUCUACGUCCUUCUUUAAUCCCGGCCAAUAAAAAUGUUGUUUAAUUCUGCGGUAAGUAUUUUGGAUACCUGAAUGGCCUCCCAAUGCGGAGUUGUGCAUUUGAUCGAUAACCUUCUUCCUCAGGUGCCCUGAUCCUCCAAUGUACAGCUUACCUUUAUGUCUCAACAAUUCGUUGUGGUACGAAUAAUUCCCUUGAUUAGUUGACUGUAAAGGAAGCUCACAGAUCAAUUUCUCGCACUGUGAAUCUCCCAGAUAACUCUCUGUCACUUCCUGCACCCAGCUCGGUAUCGCCGCUGUUAUAGCUAAAGUAACGCCCUUUUCCCCCGUCACUCUUGACAAAGCAUCGGCCGCUGCAUUCUCCUUCCCUUUCCUGUACUGAAUAGUGUAAUUAAAUCCCAUUAACUUCAUCAUUCCCUUUUGUUGCAUCGGAGUUGUCACCCUCUAUUCCAAUAGAUAUUUUAGACUUUCGUGAUCCGUCCUAAUCACAAAAGUCCUCAUGCUCAGAUAGUGCUUCCACUUCUGCAAGGCCAUGAGUAUAGCUAAAAACUCCUUUUCAUAUGUCGAUAACCCCAAGUGUUUUCCUCCAAUUGCCUUGCUCAAAUAAGCAAUGGGUUUCUCGUCUUGAGACAAUACUGCCCCUAUCCCUGUGUCACACGCAUCAACUUCUAAGGUAAAAGACCGAUCAAAGUUGGGCAUCGCUAAUACCGGGGCGGUAGUCAUAGCAGUUUUCAACUCUUCGAAGGCUAAUUGGGAUUCCUCGCUCCACCGAAACUGAUCCUUUUUUAAUAAGUCGGUUAAGGGCUUACUAAUCUUUCCAUAUCCUUGAAUGAAUUUUCGGUAGUAACCCGUCAGCCCUAAAAAUCCCCGAAGCUCUUUAACCGACUUAGGGGUUGGCCAAUUGAUCAUAGCUUCAAUUUUGGUCUGAUCUGUAGCUACGGCCUCCGCUGAAAUUAUGUGGCCCAAGUAUUCCACCUGGUCUUGCCCAAAGUAACACUUGCUCCGUUUAGCAUAUAACUGAUUCCUCUGCAACUCUUCCAAUGUGAUCCGUAAGUGUUCCACGUGAUCCUCCAGACUUUUACUAUAGACCAGUAUAUCAUCAAAGAACACCAAAAUGAACUUCCUUAGAUAGGGUUCGAACGUGCAAUUCAUAAUUGCCUGGAAGGUGGCAGGUGCGUUGGUGAGGCCGAAGGGCAUAACCCGAAACUCAUAAUGCCCUUGAUGAGUUCGGAACGCUGUAUUUGGAACAUCGGCGGGGUCCAUCCUGAUUUGAUGAUAGCCGGAUCGUAGAUCUAUCUUGAAAAAGUGUUUCGAGCCUCCCAACUCGUCUAAUAAAUCAUCGAUGAUAGGUAUGGAAAAUUUGUCCUUUAUGGUUGAUUUGUUAAGUUGACGGUAAUCAAUGCACAUCCUCCAACUUUCGUCCUUUUUCUUAACCAACAAGACCGGCGAAGCGAAUGGGCUGUUACUCCUCUGUAUUAUAGAGUUAUUCAAUAGUUUCCUUAUUUGUUUCUCAAUCUCUUCUUUUUGCUCAUAUGAAUACCUAUACGGCCUUACGUUAAUGGGAGCAGUGUUGGGUUGUAGCAAAAUUUUGUGGUCCUCGACGCGGGCUGGUGGCAUUCCUUUCGGCUCCUCGAAAACAUCCUUAUACUGCUCCAGAACCUGCUGAAUCCAAGGGUGAACGUUUGCUGUUGCCUCAGUUUUGUCGGGCAUCAAUUGGUGGCUCAAUAGAUAGCACUCCCCGAUACCCAUCUCCUGGUUCCAUUGGGCUGCCGUGACCAUUUUCAAUUUGGCUCCUUCCUCAAUCCCCUUUAACUCCAAUUUCUGCCCGUCCUUUACGAUGGUAACAGAGUUUAGCAAGAAAUCGAAGGUUACCUUCCCGUAAGACUUAAGCCAGUCAAUGCCCAACACAAUGCUGACACCCUCGAUUCGAAUUACCUAUAACUCCAUUACAAACCUCUGCCCCUGCAUAGUCCGUGAGAAUUUAGGACACUUAAGUUUGCUUAACAUCUUGUGUCCAUCAGCUAUGGUGACCACCAAGGGCGAGGCUGCUUCCAUCCUUGCUCCAAUCUCCUUGGCCACCCGUAAAUCGAUAAAACUAUGCGUGCUCCCAGUAUCGAUUAGAAGGGUGAGCGUUCUGUUCUUUGCUUCGCCCCGUAUCUUAAUGGUGUCUUGAGGCUUCUCCCCACUUAGCACGUGGACUGAAACUCCGAUCUCUUGCGCUUCUUCGCUAUCAGGUAUAGCCCCUGAUCCUUGCUCAUCCCCGUCUACAACUCCUCCUUCACCCGUUUCUUCAUGCAAACAAUCCUCAUCGUAAACUUCCACAAUUUCCUCGGAAGCCUGUAAGGUGUUUAAGGACUUACUGUUGCAUACAUGUCCUGGGUGAUACUUUUCUCCACACCCGAAGCACAGUCCUGCUGCUCUCCGCUGUUCUAUUUACUACCUGUUGACCGGGUUUUGAGUUACCUGGUUUCUUUGUGAGGUCUGGUACGGGUUUCUUAAAUUUUCGCCAACCUUAUUAAGCCCAGUUCCAGUGUUGCUUCUGUAGGGUGAGGAUGAUUGGUACGGGCCUCCCGAACCUCUGGGUAAAUACUUGUUUCUUCUAUUAAGCACGGCUAUGGCCUUCUCGUGCAACUGUGCUUGCUCAUAAGUUUCUUCCAGUGUUUUCGGAUGUGCGAUGUCCAAGAAGUGGAUCAACUCCUCUUUGAGCCCGUUAAUAUAACAUGCGAUAAAGUACUCUUCGGUUAAAUGCGGAUUGUAGUAAAGUAACUGGUACCUUAAUUCCUCAAACCGUUCUUGAUAUUUCUCGCAUGUCCCCGUGUGUUUCAAGUUGCUGAACUCUCGGAUCAGGUACCUUUCCCCUAUUUGCGCAAAUCUUCGACACACUGCUUCGGUAAAUUCGUCCCAAGAAACCAUCUGUUUAUUGACGAAAUACCCUUGCUUCCAAGUCUUCGCCUUUGCAACGACCCAGCCCACUAGCAACAAUAACUCGUUGGGCCCAAACCAACAGCCCAAAAUGCUUAAGCCCAGUUAUUAUUACUAGUGUCUAAGUCUCUUAUAAACCCAAUGACAAUCCCAUUCCCAUUCGAUGUGGGACUAUUGGGGUGUCACAGCCUUGCCGAUCAAGUGCAUCGUCGCUACACUCAACCAUUGAUGUUGAGGUAUUUGAUAUAGCUCGAAGUAUUGUUCGCAAUUUUCGAUCCAACUUCUGGGAUCUUCCCCUUCGAAUGACAGAAAAUCUAAGCGAGGGUAGGGUAAAUGCUGGUGAUGAUUGAAACUUCGAUGACCCCACGGAGAAGUGUGCUCUUCCUCCAUUUCAAGUGGUUUGCUUGGAGUGGGUAGAAUGCCUUUACCUUUCUCUUCUUUAAUCAUAAAUGGUGUGCUACUACUUCCAGGCUUGAACUUGCGUUCGGAUGAGGGCACCUCGCCUGGAGUCUUGAGUGUAGGUGGCUGGGUGGAUAUAAGCUUUAGCAGCUCCUCAUGUCUCCUGGCAGCCUCAGCUUGCAGCAACUCGAACUGCUUUUGCCCUGUGUCCCUCACUUCGACUAUCUGGUGGGUAAGUGCUUCUAUGUGAACUUGAUGCUCCAUUCCCAACUUCUGGUACUUCUCUUCUAAAGUGUGGAUGUGAUCACUAAUAUCCCGUAGUCGGGUCCCUUCAGUUAUAUCUAUAUCUUCCAGAUACUCCUUUGGGUUAAAUCGAAACUUGUUGCCUCUCUUGCCCCCAAUCUUGCCGUGCCUGUGGGAUAAUUUGAUCUGAGGAGUGUGGGGGAUUUCCUCUGAUCAGGCAGUAACUUCAGGGUUACUUGUGGUGAUUUCUUUUGUCCAACUCUGACCGUAGUGCAGAAUCGGCAGCGCAGAAAUCUUAUUCGCAGUUAAACUCAACAAUACCGAGAUGGGAGUUAGCAAGCGAUUUCACCACACAGGGCCCUAGGGUCGGACCGCUCUGAUACCAAUUGUUACGUACCUGACUCUACGCAACCGGUCGAUGAUGAUAAUUCGCUGAGACGAGGACGGCGUGUAGGAUGAUGGCCAAUCAAAUCGGUAUCUCGACAACUACCCGUCUAAAUACUUGUGACUAAAUCAGUGAUGAGAGAAAGAGUAGGGGUUAAGCGAGAAGGGAAGAGAGAGGAAGAGAUAGACAGGUAGUCGAGGAUUUGGAGGUGAGGAAGGAGGAAAAAGAUGAUAAGAAGAGCAAGACUUAACAAUUUCCAUAAAACCUAAUUAGGUUACAAUCUGCCUCUUUAUUCCCUAUACAAUGGACUAAAAUGCGAUUAAUAAAAACUAAACAGUGCUAAAUGAGAAUUGAGUUAUGAAUUGGGCUGCUCAGCCUCCUCGUGGGUCGAAUUCGGUGGAACAUGGGCCUGCAAGGGAAACGACCUGGCCCACUGACCUCCUGUUGCCGGGUAAGCGGGUUCCGGGUCCUUUUCCUCUCAAUCUCCUCAAUCCGCCGGGUCUUGGGUUCGCUCUUUUUAUCCACUCCAUCCUCCUCCCGCUCCGAUCUGAAGUUCCGCCUUGCUCUCAGUUUCUACCCCAUCACAUAGCCCUUCUUGCUGUCGCCACCUCCCCCAUGGACUCCUUGCUCCAUCUCGAUCACCAUGGCUGACCUGUUCGUGCUCCUCGGCUCCCUACAAGGAAAAGCUAAGCUCCCAUUAUCUCUUCUCUUUUUAUUCUUUCCUAAUUACUCUGAUUCUAUGCCUAACCCUAACUCCUCUCCUACUUGGCAGAUGUAACAUAUUUUUUUACUAAUAUGUAUUCUCAUUUGUCCCCGUCGCUGGCACGGGUACAUCAUAUCGUCCUACUGAUAGUCAUCAUCAUCACCGGCGCCGGCACAUUGUUGCUUUCGCAACAGUUGGAGAGGUAUUUUGAUUCCACCUAAAAUUUUUUUUUUUUAAUAUGUCUUUAUACUGCUUUAAUUAGCAUUUUUCUUUAGUAUUUUCUCUUUUUUAUCUAUAUGUUUCUCAAAUAUAAAAAAUAUAUAUAUUUUUAGUAAUAUUCUUUUUUAUUUUCACCUAUAUUUUUUUAAAAAAUAUUCUCAAAUAUUGUUCUAGUAAUAUCCUUUCUCAUUUGUCCCCGUUGUCAGCAUCGCCAUAUCGUGUGAGACCCCAGAUAGACCUAUAUUUAAGGUAUAAUAGGGCUAAAACUCUUAAUCCGGCUUAAGCAUUUUGGGUGCUGUGGCAAGGCCCAAGAGGUUAAGAAAGUUAAGUGUGUUAGGACGGGAGUAGUCCUAGGAUAGGUAACACCCUGGAAAGUUAGGGCGUCACAGUUGGUGUCAGAGCCAAUUACCAGCUGGAAGUGUGAGAUGAGUCUCGGCUGAGCCAAUAUUAUAUAGCGGGGAGAGCAAGACUUUCAUGCUGUUGACUGUUAUGGAUGGAACACAGAUCAACACAUGGUCAGAUCACCAUAUGGUCGGUUUAGGCUAGCGAGACGAAUAUCACAUCGCCUGAUACUUGUGUGUUUGAGCCUGACGAGGACUUCAGGGCAUAAGGGGAGAGAAUGUGAGACCACAGAUAGUCCUAUAUAUAAGAUAUAAUAGGGCUAAAACUCUUAACCCGGCUUAAGCAUUUUGGGCAGUGCCAAGGCCCAAGAGGUUAAAAGAGUUAACUGUGUUAGGACGGGAGUAGUCCUAGGAUGGGUGACCUCCUGGAAAGUUGGGGCGUCACACAUCAUCAUCCUUCUCCUCAUCGUCAUCGUCAUCCUCCUCCUUAUCGUCAUCUUCAUCAUCGGUGCCGGUACAUUGUCGCCUACGCUGCCUUCGCCACUUUCGCCACCUUUUAUAUUACUUCAGUUUUUCUCAGAUAUUGUAAGAAUGUUUGUUCAAGUUAAUCCCUCUAUUUGUAUGAAGUCAUAGUUUUAAUCGUUCUAAACGUGAAGUUGUCAUAAUGGAUAAACAGUAAAGUGUUAAUUUCCACUUUUAUCAUUUCAUAUGAAAAAAAAAAUAUUAAUAACAAAUUUUUUGGAUGGAUUUGAAGUAUGAAUCGAAUUAGAUUCAUCCUCUGGGACAAGAUGGCGCUAACACAGACGCUAUUGCAAACAAUUCAGUUGUUGUAUUAACAGCAGUGCAUAUUAAUAUCGAUAAUUAGGGUAAAUAUAUUUUUUAAUAUUUUUAUUCUUUAUGUAGUAUUUUAAAUUUAUUUAUCGAGAUCAAUUUAUUUAGCAACAAGUUUUGUGAGUAAAAUUAUGCUUAAUCCACCUAUUCUAGAAACUCAAAAAUAAAAUUAAGGUAAAAAUUCUUACUUAUGUGAAUUCUUAUUAAAUUUCUAUUUUUCACUAAUUUUAUCUAUUUCAAUGAUUUACUAAUGUUUAUUUUAUUAUUUUUCUUACUUUCAUUGUAUUUUGCAUAUAAGCAAUGAUUGAGAGGGAGAUAAUUUUUUUUAAGUAAUGGUUAAAAAUUCACAUUUUAUUUUAACUUUUUUAUCUAUUAAAUAAUGAAAUGAUGGUGACAUUUUCAGUUAGUUUAGUUACUAAUUUUGUGUUUUUUUUUUUUUUUAUAAUACCGUGAUGGAUUUUGUGUUUUUUCUUUGAUGAUAUUGUAAUUUUAUUUCUUAUUUAUGUCAUUUUAUUGUGAUAAUAAUUAAAUACUAUAUAUCAAAUUUAUAAUAUUUAUUUAUAAAUAUUUUAUUUUUUAGUAUUUGUGUGAUGUGCAUUGCAGGUGCAAUUAACUAGUUUAUAAUUUAACCAUAACAUAUACACAUCACAUUAUAGUAACUCCAUAACAAAUAUCAAUUAAGGGCCUUCCCAUGGUGAGAACUCUAAUCGCCAUUCAAGAUGCCUUCAAUUCAAGUUUUGUUCAUAAUAAAUGAAACGCAACUGAGUAGACCAUUAUUCCAUUAUUUUCACCAUGCAUGCGUAGGAUCUUCUUAAUUAGAACUUCUAUUGCAAGAAAUAUAUUGACUAAAUAAUUAGUAUAAAAACAAAUAUUACCCUUUAUUCUAUUUAUGCUUACUUAACUUUUAAUUAUUUUAUUUAUAUUAUUUCACUCAAAUAACUUUGAAAUUUACUAAAUCUAAUAAUAAUUCAGUUAAUGAUCUAAUUUCUUUACGACAAUCGAUGACUAUUAGUUGACAGAGCUAUUAAAUUUAAUAUAAUAUUUAAUUUAGUUUAAAUAAAAAGAUUAUUUUAAAUAAUUAGAAUUUAUGAAGCUACUAAAAAAAUAAAUAAAAAUAAAUUCAUAGUUGAGAGAGCACUAUGCUAGUGCCAAAAACUUUUUUAAAAGAUAGAUCAAUCGAUAUACUUUGGAAAUUAGGUAAAAGUAUAUCUUUAAAAAAAUUAUAUAUAAAAGACUAUUAUGCAAUUUUGAAACGUCUGGGAGACCAUAGCACGCUUCAGUCUUCACGUAGCUCGGCCGUGGUUUUGGUUAUGUGACGUGAAAUAAACUUGUAGUACUUGCAUAACUCUCACGGAGACGUGUUAUUAUUUUGCUUAUGAUGCCCACUAAUAUAUUCAUAUCCUCUUGUAUGAUUUCAUCGGGUCUUACACACGGCCUGUUGAGACUUUUUGGCAGUGUUUGAUUCGGGAACAAAGGAGAAAAUAAAUUUUUGUUCUUCGCUUUGUUCUUAAACAUUGUGUUUGGUAUCUGAGAACAGUAUUCUUGAAUUUUUGAAAUAAACUGGUAUAAGACUGAAACUGCUAUUUUACCAUUUUUUCUAGAAUAAGUUUGUUCUAGCUGGAAACAAGGUUAAUUAAAGUCUAAAUUUAAUUUUAAUUAUUAUAUUAAAUUAUUAAUUAAUCUAAUUAAUAUAUUUAAAGCAUUAUUUAUUACUUAAAUAAUAACAUAAUGUGUCAACUUUGUUUAUUAUUUAUAAUUAAUUAUCAAUAAUUAUCCAGAAACUAAUAUUUAUAUUAAUCAAUCAUGUAUUAAUAUUUCUAUUAAUCUAAUUAAUUUUUUUACUAGUUAUCUAGCUAAAAUAAUUUACUAACUAAUUAAAAAGUUAAAUUAUUUUUUAUAAUUAAUUAAUUAAUUAAUAUAUUUUUAUUAUUUUAUACAAUAUUCAUAGCUAAUAAAUUUAUUAAUUUAUUAAAUUAUUUUUAAGUAAUAUUUUGAUGUUAAUUAAUUAGAUAAAAUAAAUUUAAUUUAAAAGUAUAACACUUAUUUCUCUUGUUCCAAUCUAAUUAAUCAUCCAAACACUAUUUAUCUUAUUCCUAGGAAUAAACAGCUUAAUUUUCAUCCAAAUACAAAAUUGGUUUAAUUCCUAUUUAUACACUUGUAUCUAUUUCUGAAAUAAGCAAUUCUUAUUUAUACUCGAACCAAACAUAGCCGAAGCCGGAAUAUGAUUUUUGAGUGUGGAAGCCAAUCAUACAAGCAAUCAUCUUUAUAUAGGGGUUAUUUUUUUGCAUAUAGUUGCAACUGUAUUGUAAUUGUAACUACAUGCAAAUCUAAAUAUGGCGAGUUUUCUGCCAUUAGUUCUACCAUUUGAUCAUUUUCACCUAUUAGAUUAUACUAUUCAACUAACCACUCACUCAACCCUAGAAGACUACUAUCAUCCUAAUCAGAAACCACUAUCAUCCUCACCGCACAUCCUUUCAUCUAACGACCAAAAACUCGAUAGUACCAAACUGUGAUAUAUAUACUGAACUUUAACAAAUUAGCAAGGUUACAGUAUAAAUUAUUGUUUGCUAAGUUGGAAACGUUUUGGCACGAAAUAGACGCAAAAACGGGCUUUGAAACUCAAGAUUUAAUUGUUGAGGACUAAAGUUGAAAUGCAUUAUUUUGAGCGGCUUCUUAGCAUUUUUGCAUUUAAGUUGGUGGAGUGCAGCGGGCUUCUUUGAUCCUUAUCUCUUUAUCUCUUUUAACAUAAGGUAGAGAGAGAAAGAGUUUGGUUGAGGAGGGAAAAAAAAAAAAAAAUGAGAAGAGGAGAGAAGAAGUUUGAUUUCGUGCUAGCGAGCGAGGGAGUCGAGCGCGCGCACGUGUUUUUGGUGUUUCGAUUUCGCUGUUAGUAUCACAAUAUUAUUAUUUCUUGUUUAGAUUCUUUUGAUAAUUUUUUUUUGUAGAAAAUGAGAGUUAGAAACUGAUUUUUUUUGUACGUUUUAGGAGCUGAUUUCGUGCCUAUCGUUCAGACUAGGAGAGCUGUAGCAUAUUAUCUGACUAUUUUGACUGUCGUCUUGUUUCUUGGAUUUGUGAUAUAGGUGAGUUCUGUGUUAUUAAAAUUGACAGAUUAAUUUCUAUAUCCAUAUUAUAUUAUUUAACCUGUGAGAUGAAUUGUUGACAUAGUUGAGAUAAUAGUGACAGUUUAACAUCUGCCAAUAGAGUAAAUUGAGAUAUAAAUAUAUGUGAUAUUUUUCUAAAGGUCAAUAGACAAUUAUAGAUAGUGUAGACUAUAACUGUAUUUUGGACAGUAUGACAGUAUUAUCAUGAAUUGUUUGAUCAUCGCAUUUGACCACAGUCUGCAUGUUAUAUUGAGUUUGACAAUAAUACUAUACUCAGUUGGGGUAACGGCCCGUGAGUGCCACUCUGGAGGUUGGGUUAUGAGAUAUUAUUAUGGCAUUGGGCAAACAAUAGUUUGCGUGGUAGCAGGCCAUUAUAGGUGGGUGCUGGACAUAAGGCGGCACAGGCUAGACCUGACUGUUGAGUCGGUCACUAUGAUUGGGCAUUAUUGCAGUAUUUUAUUUAGUCUCUAAUUGAUGCAUGCAAAACAUAAUUUAUAAUUUCAGCAUAUUGUAGAGGCAUGAUAGUUGCAGUUUGUUUCAGCAAUUAUUCAUAUUAGUACUUGUUCCUUCAUAUUGCUAAGUUAUUUACUAUUUUUGCCUGUUAUGGACCUAGUGGUGUAGACCGUCGGCGUUGACGAUCGUACCCACUGAAAACUAUUAAUUAUAGUUCUCUACCCUCUUAUUUAUUAUAUUAUUUUAGAGCCUUCAGCACUAGCGACUGAUCGAGAUAAGGGGAUUGCAGAUAGUUAGCAUCUCCUUUCUUGUGUGUGUAGUUGGACCACCUAUCAGUGAGCAGCCUGUACAGUAUUCGAUAUUUGGAGUGAUUAGAGAUGUUGUACCAUUUUGAGGACUAGUGCGGUAAUGAUUGUAUAUCGUUACAGUAUUGCUAUAGUACAUAGUUUUAUUUUUCUCUAAUAUCUAUUAUAUUAUUGUUAGAUUUUAGUUAAUUUUGUUGAACAUGUUUUAUUGAUACUUCGUAAGUAUAAGGUACAUUCUUAUGCAUGCGGCGGGUCUGUUGACGUAAUCCGGACUUCCGCUGAAAUCCGAAGCGUGACACAAACGCUUAGUACUAUCAAUAGUAUAGUAGCAUAAUUCUCUCUCUCUCUUUAUAUAUAUAUAUAUAUUUUUGAUUUUUUAAAUUAUAUGUAUAUAUUUUUAAAAACUUUCUUCUUCUUUUUCUUCUUCUUCUUCUCCCUCAGCACCUUUAUUUUUUUUAUUUUUUAUUUUUUGUUCUAGUCCCUCACAAUGUAAUUCAUAGAUGUGGAUGUGCUGGGUGUGGACACGUUUCUCCUCUCAAUAAAAAUUUAUAGAGCUCCAAGCCCAAUUCUUGAUGAUUGCAUUUAGAUUUCUUUAAAUCUAUAGUGAUCUCGAGAAAUUCAUGAGGGUGGCAUGGGAUUGUGAUCCGGAAUUCUAAAUUUUCUGGGAUCCUGUUGGAUGGGGAUGCAUAGAUUCUGUAGAGAGAGAGAAAGACGAAAAGAGCGAGAAAGAGAGAAGCUGCGCGAUUUGCCCUCUUAGAUUUUUUUUUUUUUUUUUUUUAAUGGCCAAGGUUGGGCCUCUCUUGGGUUGUGCUACUUUAGACAGGCCCAACAAUUGAUACUUUGAUUUCAAAGUUUGAACGCAUCGUUUAUUUUUACUGGUUCAGUUAGUAUAUUUUCUGUAAUUUACACAAUUAGAAAUUUACUAAAGUAAGCACUUAACUUAAACUUUGAAUUCAAAGUGCUAUUAUCUGAUUCAAAUCAAGCAAAUUGAAAGAUUAGAUAGUUAAAUCAAAAUUUGAAAGGUCGGGUACUCAGUUCAAAAUAAUCCAUAAUUCAAAUAAGUUUUAUACGUUUUUAUCUAUAUUGUAAAUAUAUAUUUUUUUUUUACGUUGUCUUCAACUGCAUGCAUUAUUAUCUACAUUGUGUUUUUAAUCACAUCGAAUCAAACGACCCAUAAUAUAUACCAACAGAGUACAAAUACAUAUAGGAAAAGCAACAAACCAAACGGCCCCUAAUACCAGCAAAUUACAAAUACAUGUAGCAAGCACCAAACUAAAAGCAGAAAUACAUCUCGUACAUGGCAAGCCAAAACGAGCAUAACACAACUAAAAGGAUUUGGCAUAUAUCGACUCUAAAAUCCUUUUACGUACUCUAAAAGGUUGACUUGGUAGUGAACACUAGUGGAAAAUAGGUUUUAACACAUCACAACGCAAGACAAAGGCAUAUUAUUUUUGAACGAAAUACACACAUCACCAUGCAAGAUACGAAACACAACGAAAAUCAGCUGAAGGAUGGGAAUAGAUGUCUUCCUUUCCUCAGCAUGAAUCACGCUGCCUUUCCCACGACUUCCUGAUCACUACAAAAAAUAAAAGUUUAGGGUUCGUUGGGAAGAGUUUCAGGUCAAGUAAAUACGUUUCGAGAGUUGUUUGGUACCAGCUUUUUUUCUUGUCCUUGUCCUUGGGCUUGCUCUUAACCGGAGUUUUGUCGUUAUUAUUUUUUUUGUUCUCUGGGUUUGUUGCCCCUUUCCUAUAGCCAAAUUCAUCAGCUUAAUAAAUAAAACAGUAACAUGCUACUUUCUUCUCAAAAAAUAAAAUUACAAAAAUAAAAGCUUGUAUGUACUCAGGUUAAUUUGCUCAAAGGAGGGGAAAAAUAGCCUAGAGUACCAAAAAUAAGAAUAUAUAUCUAUACCACUUAUAAAAGCCUAUAGUUAUUAUUAUUGGUGUCCAUGGUCUCUUAUAUAUUCAAUCACAACUCUAUCUCACACACAGCUCAAAAUUACCAAACGAUGUAAGGCUUGUCUCGGUAGUCUUAACAUUCCAACCCUGACUUAAUUCGUCAUUCCCAUCUUGACAGGUGAAAUUCAUGUUACACUUUCGGUUAGUGAUUGACUCUGAUACUAAAUAUAAUGAUCCGGUUUGCUAGCAAUAAUAACUUGUAGGGUCUAAACCACCGGCCAAAAAUACUUAAGCCUAAUUAUUAUUACUAGUGUUCAUAGUCUCUUAUAUAUCUAAUUACAAUUCCAUUUUUAUCAAAUUUGGCACUAUUGGGGUAUUACAUCCGAUCCUCAAACUUUGAGGUGUUACUAUAUAUACACUAGUUCUCAAGUUUAUUUGAUGUAAUUUUCAACUCAAACUUUUUAAAUUAUUACAAUUAAGUUCUACAGUUAUUGAACGGAUACUAAUAUUAUAGAAAUGUGGCUUCUUAACAAUCAUCAUAUCAUAGAUUACAAAGCUGCCAUGCACAUCACUCCUACAAUAGCUAGAUAUCAGCAUGCAACUAGCUAAAUUGGACUGUAGGGCUUAAUUGAAAGAACUUUGACAGUUAGAGAUAGAAACCACAAUAAAUUAAGGGUGUGUUUGGUUCGGAUUAUCCUGCUAGGAUUACAAGUAAUUCUGUCAGAACUACUGUAUUUGGUUCAUCCAGUCUAUAAUUUGGUUGACAGUACAGCAUUACAAAUGAUAGUAUUACUCUGAAAAUUUAUCAAGCAAGGGGCAGGUAUCUUGUAUUACUGAUGGUGGAUUAUCUUGUAUGUUAUAUAAAAUUACAACUUGAUUCCUCCAACUCCCCAAAAACUUUAAUACAUCAUUUUAAAAAUUUUAAUUUUAAUUUUUGAAUUUUUGAAUUUUAAAUUUUUAAUUUAUAUUUUAAAUUCUAAAAUUUAAUUUUAGAUCUUAAAUUAUAAAUUAUAACUAUAAUUUUAUAUUUUAAAUUUCAAAUUUAAAUUUAAAUUUAAAAUUUUUUAAACUUUUACAUUUAUAUUUUAAAAUAAAAAUAUUAAAUUUCAUAUUUUCUUUACAUUUUAAAUUUUAAAUUUAAAUUCAAAUUUUAAAUUAUUUUAAAAUAAAUUUUAGUAUAAAAUUAUUAUUUGUAGACAAUAAAAGAAUUUUCUCAAAUAUGACCAAAGGGCAAUUUUGAACUAGACUUAUACUUUAUUAUUAGGGUUAUCGAAUUUUAUAAAAUAAAUCAAACAUAGUAAUUCUAUAUACACUGUAAUUCAGCAUUACUUUAUUGUAUUAAACCAAAUAAGGUGAUGUAACGUCAGUAGUAAUCUAAUUCAGAAAUCUCAUAUAUCUAGUUAUAUAUGUCGAAGAAAUUUGUAAUGCUAUAUAACGGAAACCUAACGUGUCGUAAAGGGUAAACUUCAAAUUGCCCCAUGUUAUGUGACACCCCAAUAAUCCCACAUUGGAUGGGAAUGAGGUUGUCAUUAGGUUUACAAGAGACUCAGACAGUAGUAAUAAUAACUGGGCUUAAGCAUUUUAGGCUGUUGGCUGGACUUAACGAGUUAUUAUUGCUAGUGGGUUAGGUCGUUACAUUUGGUAUCAGAGCCGAUUCACCAGCUGGACAUGUGGGGCGAGUCUCGGCUGAGCCAGGGUCAGGAUGACAGGCUAGCGAGACGAGUCUCACAUCGCCUGGUGAUCUUGGACUGUGUGUGUGAUUGGACUGACGAGGACGUCAGGGCCUUAACGGGGAGAGUCUGUGACAUCCCAAUAAUCCCACAUCGGAUGGGAAUGGGAUUGUCAUUGGAUUUAUAAGAGAUUUAGAUACUAGUAAUAAUAACCGGGCUUAAGCAUUUUGGGCUGUUGGUUGGGCCCAACGAGUUAUUAUUGCCAGUGGGCUGGGUCUUUACAUGUGAUUCAGCUUAUAUUCGCUUUGUCGCUCCGUGUCUAAAAAAUUGCAUUUUGCCCCCUAUGGUUUAAUUUUUAUUUCAACAAAAAAUCUAUGCAAAUUGGGUGGAAAGUAAAAAUUUUUAAAAAAUCAUAGGGUGACAAAAUGAAAAUGUGUUAAAUCAUAAAUCAUAGCAGGGUAAGGUGCAACUUUUUAAACCACAAGAUAGCAAAGUAUAACUUUUGACGAGACGGCAAAUUAAAAAUGAGCUAAACUACACAAGGACAAUUUAAUAUUUAUCUACUACAAUUAAAGUUUGAGGAAUAAAAUUAAAGUGUCACGUGCCUCAAACUUCUGGAACCAAAGAUGCAAUUUGGCCGAUAUGUUAUGAAAGCUUGUGGAUGCCACCUACAGAUGUCAACGGAUCGGAUUCGGGGCGGAUUUUUAAAAACCCGAACCCGAACCCGACUCCAAACCCGAGACCCGAAUCCGAACCCGACGGAUUUUAAAAAUCCAUAUCCAAACAAGAACCCGACCAAAAAUCCGAAACCCAAACACCCGAGCCAGAAAAUUUGAACCCGAAACAAUUAUUUUUUUUUCAAUAUUUCAAAAUAUAUUAUAUUAAAUCUAAAUUUUUAAAAUACAAAUUCAAAUAUAACAUCAAAUUUAUAUAUAUAUAUAUAUAUAUAUAUAUAUAUAUAUAUAUAUAUAUAAUACAAAAUAAAUUUGGGUUCGGGUUCGGGUCGGGUACAAUCAAAGUCCAUUUCCGAAUUCAUAUCUGUCGGGUUUCUAUUUUUUAUAUCUAUAUCCGAAUCCAUAUGCAUAUCCAUUGGAUAUAUCCGUUUUAUUCGGAUUCGGGUUCGGAUAAAAUUUCGGAUAUCCAUACCCAUUGACAUCCCUAACGCAUUACUUGCAGACACAUAUUUACAAAUAUACCCAUGAUAUCAUAUUAUAUUAUCUCCAUAACAAAAUAUCAAUUAAGGGCCUUCCCAUGGUGAGAUAUUCUAAUCACCAUUCAAAGGGGCUUUAAAUUCAAGCGUCGCCUGUUCAUACUAAACGAAACGCAAUAGAGAGUAGACCAUUUCACCAUGGGUAGGAUCCUCAUAAAAUUUUUGUUACUUACAUAGGAGCAACAGCUGGUGGAUCCCGUUGACGUUUUGCAGGAGCAUAACCUGAUGCUGUUCAUCAUAACUAGUUAGCGCAGAGAAAUGAACAAAGCUUGAAUGGGAUCGAUGCUCCCCAGUGAGGGCUGGUGCGAGCCUUUAGAUAUUCCAAUGACACUGUGUUAUAUAUAUAUAGGUAUAAUUUAUGAACUGCACCUUAUAUUUUAUGAUCAAUCACUUCAAAACUAAAACCAAAUUCGAGUUAUAAGGGUGUAGAUAUAAAUAAGUGAUUAUAAUUAUAAUUUUUACGACCGUUGUGAUCUGGACAUCAAGUAUGCAUGGCCAGAAAUCAACGACACGCAGAAAAGAGCAUUGCUUGAUUAAUUAGAAAUAGGCAUGAUAUAUGUUUUUGAUUGUUAUAAAACACAACUAAUAGUGUAAUUUUGAUCAUUAAACCUUUGUUGUAGGAGUUUAAUUAUUGAAAACUUGUCUAAAACCAAUGUACUGGAUAAAGUAGAAGAUCCAAAUUAACAGUAAUAGGUUAAAAAAGAACCAUGCAUUGGCAUCGUAAAUUAAUUUAAUCGAUCGCUAUCAUAAUACAGCGAAGAAAGGAGAGGAGAAGAAGCAAGAGAAGCGAGCGUAACUGUUGUCUUUAGGACAAGAAGUCGGGACCGCCGGACGACCAUGACCUGAGGCAAUUUAGCAUAAGCAGUUAACCCAAAGACAUGAACAAAACUUUAAUGGGGCGGUCCCCUAUGAUCGAGAGCUGGUGCCAGCUAUCAGAAUAAACUUUUGUUAAGAAAAAAAUUUGCAAAAAACUGUAAUCUAAUGGCAUUGGUACACAGUAAGUUCUUAUGAACAACACAUAAUAUUUAAACGGUGAUCUAGGGUGAUCUAAAGGGUGUAUACAUAAAAAAUGGUAAUUAUAAAUCUUAUACGAGCAUUAUCUCGCACAUCAAUUAUUGCCCAAAGUUAACAAGCACGGAUGUUUUAACUUUCAUGUCAUUUUCAUAUCGAAUACAUAUUGGAUAUUGAUAUGCGCCCGAUAUGUGAUGAUACAGGAUUGAACCAAUAUCUGGUAUUUUUAAACAAUAGAAAAAUAUCGGAUAUGGCUCGAAUACACGGGAUACGGCUGGCUUUUUUUUUAUGUGGUAAAAAAUAAUCGAAACUCAAAACUUUUGAAAAGCUCACAUACUAACAGUUUGGAAAUGAGAAAAAUUAAGAAUGAGAGAAAUGCCGCCUUUCUUCAAUUUGCCAUUUUUUCUAUCUUUUUGCUUUUGUAUGGUGAAAGUCGCUCUCUCUCACUCUAUCUCCACACACUAUUAAUUUAUAAUUUAGUCCUUUACUGUUUACUUUUACUUUCUUUUAUCUAACUUGCCAACUUAGUUUUAAUCAAUAAGUGCCACAUAGAGAGAAUGAUUUUUGUUUUCUAUUUUCUAUUGAAAUGUUAGCAUAUUGUUUAAUUUUUUAUUAUUGUUUUCUAUAAUAAAACCCAAUAAUUAACUCAUGCGAUUGUGUUUGAAUUAUUAUUUCAUAUGGUUGUGUUUUAUUAUUAUUUUUUUUUUAACAAAUUAAUCUAGAACAAUUGUAUAAGCUUAAUGUAUAUCAGAUCAUUACAUAUAAUUUACAUAUAACUAAAUAUAUUUGGAAUAAUAAUUUAUUCAAUAUAUCCUACGUAUCGUAUUCUAGAGUUUUUAAGGAAUUGCCUACAUAUUACUGUAUCCCGUGUGGUGUAUCCGAAUCCCUGUAUCCAUAACUGUGUAACAUAUUCAACGGCAUAUUAAAAAAGAGAAUUGUUUGAUUAACUAGAAAUAGGUGUUGUGUUUUGAUUGUUAUAGAACACAUCUAAUAAUUUAAUUAACUUUGAUUAUUAAACCUCUGUUGUAGGAAUUUAAUUAUUGAAAAAUUAUCUAAAGCUAGUGUAACGGAAGGGAUAUAUGCGUAAAGUAGAAUAUCCAAAUGAACAGUAAUAGGUUAAAAAGAACCCUGCGUUGGCGGCGCAGUACGAUGAUUUUGAUGACCAUUUGGUUCUCCCUGCUUUGGUCUUUUUGGAUCUGUGAGACAAGGACCAGCAUGUGUUGUUAGGGUUACUGUUAUUUCAUGCAUGCAUGCACGCAGUAAUUUUGAGAGAGAGAGAGAGAGAGAGAGAGACCAGAAGCUCUUCCUUUAACCGGGGGUUCUUUUUUAUUGCUUGCUGUAGUCACGCCUCGCUGUUGUUCUUGCGGUGGAUUCGAAUCAUAUUUUGCAAGACCACAACCUGGUGCUGUUCAUCAUAACUAGUUAGCGCAAAGACAUGAACAAAGCUUGAAUGGGAUCGAUGCUCCCCAGUGAGGGCUGGUGCGAGCCUAGCUUUAGAUAUUCCAAUGACACUGUUAUAUAUAUAUAGGUAUAAUUUAUGUACUGCACCGUAUAUUUUAUGAUCAAUCACUUCAAAACUAAAACCAAAUUCGAGUUAUAAGGGUGUAGAUAUAAAUAAGUGAUUAUAAUUAUAAUUUUUACGACCGUUGUGAUCUGGACAUCAAGUAUGCAUGGCCAAAAAUCAACGACACGCAGAAAAGAGCAUUGCUUGAUUAAUUAGAAAUAGGCAUGAUAUAUGUUUUUGAUUGUUAUAAAACACAUCUAAUAAUGUAUUUUUGACUAUUAAACAUCUGAUGUAGGAAUUUAAUUAUUGAAAACUUGUCUAAAACUAAUGCACUGGAUAAAGUAGAAGGUUAAAAAAGAACCAUGCAUUGGCAUCCUAAAUUAAUUUAAUCGAUCGCUAUCAUAAUACAGCGAAGAAAGGGGAGGAGAAGAAGCAAGAGCAGCGAUCGUAACCGUUGUCGGGAGGAGGAGAAGAAGUCCGGACGGCCCGACGACCACGAUGUGAUUGACGUUCAUGGUCUGGUCCUGAUGCAAUUUAGCAUAACCAGUUAACCGAAAGAGAUGAACGAAAGUUUAAUGAGAGCUGGUGCGAGCUAUUAGAAUAAACUUUUGUUAAAAAAAAAAAAAUUGCAAAAAACUGUAAUCUAAUGGCAUUGGUGCACAGUAAGUUCUUAUGAACUACGCCUAAUAUUUAAAAGGUGAUCUAAGGGUGAUAUGAAGGGUGUAUAUAUAAAAAAGGCUUAAUUUUAUAUAGAUUCCUUCAAACAUCAUGAAUGACAAAUAUACUUUUAUAAAAUUCAACUUUUAUAUAUUAUCCCUACAAAAGUUCUAAUAUUUUCAAAUAUAUCCCUCUGAUUUGUUACUGUUAGAGAACCGUUUAUAUUUUCAAUUUUGCCAUCACAAAUAUGUCCCUUCAAAAAUCAUAACAGUAUAAUAUAAGAGGGAUAAAAAUAUCAAAAACUAAUCAAGAUUAAGUAUUUAAUCUAUGGUUAAGUAAUUUUUUCUAACGGAUUCUAACGAUAUAGAUAUAUUUGAAAAUAUCAGGACUUUGUAAGGACGAACAUAUGAAAAUUAAACUUUGUAGGGAUAUAUUUGUCAUUCAAUAUGAUUGUAGGGAUUUGUAUGAAAUUAACCCUAUAAAAAAAUUAUAAUUAUAAAUUUUAUACAACCAUUAUUUUGGACAUCAAUUAUUGCCAAAAGUCAACAAGCACGAAUAAUUCAAAUUCAAAUACAUAUUAGAUAUUGAUAUGCGCCCGAUAUGUGAUGAUACGGGAUUGAACCAAUAUCUGGCAUUUUUAAACAAUAGAAAAAUAUCAGAUAUGGCUCGAUACACGGGAUACGGCUGGCUUUUUUUUAUUCUAGUAAAAAAUAAUCGAAACUCAAAAUUUUUGAAAAGCUCACAUACUAACUGUAGUACCCUUGUUUAUUUAUUUAUUUUUUUAAAUUUUUUUNCACAGGUUCCGGCUGCUGCGCCUUCCGCGGAUCAGGAUCGAGGCAAGGGCGUCACGAGUUAGAGCCCUACCCGUCGUGCUGAGCUAGAGGUGCCCCUACUGCAAGUAGAUGUUUUGUUUCGAGUUUCUGUACAUAGUAGACUUAACUCGCCAGUGCGAGUAGCUCUGUAUUUUGGAUUUGGACUAGGUAUAUGAAACUCAGUUUGUUUAUCUUCUGUUUUUUUAGCAGCUCUCUACUACUGUUCGUAGUAGCGUUUGAUUUACAGGUACAGCUGUCGCUUCGUAUUCAGAGAAAAUUUCUUUGUAUACGGCGGAUUUGUCGGCGUGCUCGGGGAACUAGACAUCCGGGGCGUGACACUAACCGAUUGGAAAUAAGAAAAAUUAAGAGUGAGAAAAAUACCAGCAUUUCUUCAAUUUGUUAUUUUUUCUAUCUUUUUGCUCUUGUAUAGUGAAAGUCGCUCUCUCUCACUCUAUCUCCACACACUAUUAAUUUAUAAUUUAGUCCUUUAGGCCCCGUUUGGUACGGGAAAGCAAGAAUAAUGAAAGUUAUUUCCGCUAUUCCGCCAAACGGGAUGAAAUUUGACCGGAAUAUUUUAUCCCGGUCAAACCUUGCUAUUUUCGAUUAUUCUGGAAUAGCAAGGGAUUUGCUAUUCCACCAAAAUAAUGGAAUAGCGCUAUUCUAAUGCUUAAUUUCAUACUUAAUUAUAAUUAUAAUUGAAUUAAAAUUAAAUUAUAUAAAUAUAAUAUGUUAUAUAGAACUAGGCUGGAAUAUUAUCAAUAGUACCAAACUGUUGGUGCUAUUAGUUUUUUAGCCCUGGGAUUGAAAAAUAUGCAGUUAGGAUGAUAUGGGCCCUCUAGAGUUAAGUGGGUGGUUGGUUCAAUAGUAUAAUCUAUCGGGUAAAAAUAAUCAAAGUGUUAAAUCUAACGGUAGAAAACUCGAAAAUAUCAAAUCCUUGGUGCUGUCGAUAGUAUCUCAGCCGGACUCAUAUUAUAUAUUAUAAUAUAUUAUUUUUAUUUUAAAAUUAUGAAUUGUACUAUGCUAAUACAUAUUAUUUAUAUUUAAAUAUUAUAAUAAUUUUUUUUAUUAAAUUUAAUUUUAAGUAGAAUUUUUAAAAAAUUUAUAAAUUUAUUAUAAUAAAUUAUUUUUAUUAAUUGUUCCCACCCCUAUUCUUAUUUUAAAAUUUUAAAUUUUAAAAUAUAAAUUUAAAAAUUUAAAUUCAAAUAUAAUAAGAGGAUAAAUCAUUACUUUUUAUUUAUAAAACUCACUAUCCUUCUUAUUCCAUCUUAUCUAACCAAACACUAUUUGUUUUAUUUCCAAGAAUAACCAAAUUUUCAUCCAAACACAAAAUUGAUCUAAUCCCCGCUUAUAUCUCAAUUUAUAUCUAUCCCUGGAAUAGCCACUUUUUACAUAUCCCCGAACCAAAUGAUACCUAAAUGAAUUAGAUUGGAUAUAUAAAUUUAUAAAAUCUUACUCAUUAAAUUUUGAUCUAAUAGUUGAAAUUUUAUAUAUAAAUAAGUCUUUUUAUAAUUGAGCUGGACUUUAUAUUUUUUUACUAAAAAUCAAAUAAUAAAAAUAUAUAUUACAUAUAUAAUUAUUUAUUUAUAUAUAUANNNNNNNNNNNNNNNNNNNNNNNNNAAAAAGAAAAAUCAAUUACCAUCUUUUCUUCUCUCUUCACUCAAUCCACUGAAAUUCUAGACGAAGAGCCUUUCCUGUCGUCCUCUUCUGCCACCGCAGCCAACGAGAUAGAGUUUCGGUGGUUGCUAAAUGCUUAAAUAAGUGUUGGUAAAUUAGCAGCACUCUUUUAGGUUAUAGCGACACUCUUUAACUGUCACUAUAUACCUAGCGACCCCACAUAUAGCAACACUUUUUAAAAGUGUCGGUAAUUUUAGCUAGCAGCACUUUUUUGACAUGUACCCAUAUUUAAAAGUGUCGCUAUAGACCAUUUUUGUUGUAGUGAUCAUACGUAUCAUAUUCAAUAUAUCCUACAUAUCGUAUUCUAGAGUUUUUAGAAAUUACCUACAUAUUACUGUAUCCCAUGUCGUGUAUCCGGAUCCCUGUAUCCAUAACUGUGUAACAUAGUCAACGGCAUAUAAAAAAGAGAAUUGUUUGAUUAACUAGAAAUAGGUGUUGUGUUCUGAUUGUUAUAGAACACAUCUAAUAAUUUAAUUAACUUUGAUUAUUAAACCCCUGCUGUAGGAAUUUAAUUAUUGAAAAAUUAUCUAAAGCUAGUGUAACGGAAGGGAUAUAUGCGUAAAGUAGAAGAUCCAAAUUAACAGUAAUAGGUUAAAAAGAACCCUUCGUUGGCGUCGCAGUACAAUCAUUUUGAUGACCAUUUGGUUCUCCCUGCUUUGGUCUUUUUGGAUCUGUGAGACAAGGACCAGCAUGUGUUGUUAGGGUUACUGUUAUUUCAUGCAUGCAUGCACGCAGUAAUUUUGAGAGAGAGAGAGAGAGAGAGAGAGAGAGAGAGAGAGAGAUUAAUGACCUGUAUUGUUAAGGUGAUUGUUUCCGGCCAACGCACGAGGGAGGAAGAGAAUGGCGAGGGGGUGGAAAAGAGCAAAAAUGGCGGCGAAAUGUGAUUUUGGAGCCAUCCUAGUUUCAGCUGGAGAUGGGACGCCACAGGAAGUUAACACCCGGGUUGGCAAAAUCACAAUUUAUAGAACAAGAACAAGUCAAAUUGCAGAAGAAUCCCUAUAUGUUUACAUUUGACUCCCUUGAAAAUUUAAACUUACCCGUUUCGUCCAUUAAUGAUUUUAAAAAUCUAUUUUGGGUUUUUAAUAUGCAAAACUUGACAUGAUAAGGAGCUAAUAAUAGCCUUUGGAUGACUAAUUCACCACUAGCCCUCUUAAAUAUCUAAAUAUCGUAAAUAUUCCUAUAAAAUUAAAAAUAACAUAUAUACCUCUUCAAAUGUAGAAAAUUAUCACAAAUACCCUUUUAUUCUAACGGACGUUAAGAUUAAAUUAUAAAAUGACUAAUUUACCCUUGGUUGGGUUGUUCUUCUGACAGCAACUAAUAAAAAAUAAUUUCAUAAAUACCCUUCAAAUUUUAAAAAUAAUAUUUUUAGUACUAAUUAUUGGUGGAUAAAAUAUGUGGAAACCCUCACCUAUAGGUCAUUUUGAAAUAGACCCCCUUAACUUCAAUUUUUUAACAUUAAGAGCCCUUGAACUUUUAGUUUUUUUUGUUUUUACAUUUUACUUUGUUAAAAGUUUUUCAAUUGAGAUCCCUCCUACACGAAUUUGAUAAAAUUUUUAACUUAGUUGGAAAAAAAAUACUCAAUUGCAAAAAUAAAGAAUCACAUAGGUUGAGAGGAUGUAUAUAUAUAUAUAUAUAAAGAGAGAGAGAGAGAGAGAGAAAGAGAGAGAGAGUCCGGCUACUAUACUCUUAUAAAUACGAUCGCCUUCGUACUCAUAAGUCGUUUUCAAUGAUAGAGCUUCUGAAUAGACCAUCCAUAGUUAAACAUCAUCUUGAACAGUUAAAACUUUUAAAAAUCAAAUUUUAUAAUUUUUUGAUAUUAUUUACCUUACGGUCAAAAGAUCUCAAAAUUGACAAUUGUUAACAGUGGGAUAUUUGCUAUUUUAACGAUAUAAAAGAAUUAGAAUUAAUUGAAUUUUUGAUAUGAAAUUAUAUUAACUAUCUAGAUAAAAAUCAACUUAUGAGUACCAAAGGCUAUCUAGAUAAAAAUCAAUUUUUAUUAUGAAAUUAUAUUAACUAUCAUCCAUUUUUUUGAUAUGAAAUUAUAUUAACUAUCUAGAUAAAAAUCAAUUUUUGAUAUGAAAUUAUAUGAAAUUAUAUUAACUAUCAUCCAUUUUUAGAACGUCGUUUGAUUUUGAUAAUUUAUUUUUUGCCCACUUUGAUAGACAUUAUUAUAAUUUCAAAAAAUUACAAAAUUUAUUUUCAAAAAUUUUAAAUACUCUAAAUCAUAUUUAACGAAUUGAAUCGUCGAUUCAAAAGCUUCAUUAUCGAAAACAACUUAUGAGUACGAAAGGCUCAAUACUCAUAAGAGUAUAGUAGCCCUACUUUUAUAUAGUCCGGCUACAGUACUUGUAAAAGCACCAAGCACUUGAUUGUUUUAAAUUUUUUACCUUCAGAUCUACCCUUUGAUUAUUUUCACCCGUUAGAUCUACUAUUUAAGUAACAACCCACUCAAUACUAGGGGUCCCACAUCAUCUAACCGCACAUCUCUUAAUCCAAUGGACAAAAAUUAAUCUACAACCACCAAUAACUUGAUACUUUCAAAAAGUAUAGGAGCUCAAUUAAUUUUAUAUAUNNNNNNNNNNNNNNNNNNNNNNNNNAUAUAUAUAUAUAUAUAUAUAUAUACUAUAUAUGAUAUCAUACUAUAUAUAUAAUAUAUAUAUAUAUAUAUAAUAUAUUAUAUUAUAUAAAAUUAUAUAUCGGUAGUGGCGGCUGCUGUGCUCUUAGUGAAGCACGGAAGGCCUCCGUGCUCCUGAGCCGUUCUUCGGAUGAUUAGAAUUUCGAAUCGAACGAUCGGCUGCGUUAGAUCUUAUUUAGCACAUUUGUAGUUUCUAGAAAAUAAUGUUUGCGAUUUUUUGAUAGUCAUACCUAGUGAGUCGAAUAAGAAAAAAAAAAAAAAAAAAAAAAAAAAAAAAAAAAACAAAAAAAAAAAAAAAAAAAAAAAAAAAAAAAAAAAAAAAAAAAAAAAAAAAAAAAAAAAAAAAAACAAAAACAAAAAAAAAAAAAAAAA
Molecule: long non-coding RNA, 62547 nt
Filed under: Ananas comosus (pineapple)
Lineage: Eukaryota; Viridiplantae; Streptophyta; Magnoliopsida; Poales; Bromeliaceae
Description: long non-coding RNA (ACOM_LNC017487)
Source: RNAcentral